Molecule: long non-coding RNA, 57245 nt
Filed under: Eucalyptus grandis
Lineage: Eukaryota; Viridiplantae; Streptophyta; Magnoliopsida; Myrtales; Myrtaceae
Description: long non-coding RNA (EGRA_LNC004137)
Source: RNAcentral
UAGAUCUACCACAUUGAAUAGCUUUCUGAUUCCAUAGAGCUCCCAAACCCAUUCCACAAGUUGAAUUUGGCCUUGUGAUGCCCUGGGUUCGAUAGCUCUUCUUCCACAUGCUAUUUCUAAGAGGACGACUCCAAAGCUGUAGACAUCAGAUUCCUUACUUGUCUUGCCUGUGUAGAUACAUUCAGGGGCCAAAUAUCCCAUGGUCCCAGCCAAUAGGGUCGCAUGUGACCCUUUGGCAUGGUCAACUAUCCGAGCGAGGCCAAAAUCGCCCAAUUUAGCCUCGAAUUGUGCAUCAAGUAGGAUAUUGCUAGACUUUAUGUCCCUAUGCACGACACAUUGCUUCAAAUCCUCGUGCAAAUAUUUCAGCCCUAAGGCGAUGCCUUGAGCGAUAUUGUACCUCUUUUCCCAUGUUAGCAGUGUUUUAUCUUUGAACAAAUGAGACUCUAAGCUACCAUUGGACAUGUACUCAUACACGAGGAGGAACUUGUUUCUCUCAUGACACCAGCCAACGAGCUCCACCAAGUUUUUAUGCCUGAGAUGUCUAAUUGUCUUCACUUCGCUGGCAUACUCCUUUACGCCUUGUUUGGACUCUGGAGUGAUCUUCUUGAUGGCGACAUGGGAAUUUGCAUCAGCAAGGUGGCCUUCAUACACUCCUCCGAAACCCCCUUCCCCGAGCAACCGAGUAUUGGCAAAGUUGUUAGUCGCAAUGGCCAAGACAUUAUAGGAGUACUCCUUGGGUCCCUUUGACUGUUCAAAUCCUUCGUCAAUUCCUGGAGCAUCUUCUUCUUCUUCUCCACUUCGAUCAUUUUUAUUUCUCUUUAGCUUAUAAGCAUACCAGCCAAAUCCUGCAACAAGGAUAAGAAACACCAAAGAGCUUAAGCCUAAGAUAGCCCCCUUCACCCAGGACUUAUUCUUUUUCCCUCGUGUUGGUGUGUUGACAGGAGUCACAUUUGUCGUGCCAUUUACAUUGUCAAGGAUUUGUAGACUAGAGUUGAAUUCCCAUGAGAAAAUUGUAUGAGCCUCAAACGAGUCCCCUGUCGUUGCUGAGAAACCGAAUACCACCCAUUCCGGCAAGUACUCUGUCAGAUUGACUGGCUGAUAGUAAAGGCUGGUAUAAUUGUCAUCAUCGUCUCGAAAAACGACACUCAAGUUCAUUGCUGUAGAAUUGUAUGUGACCCAAGCACGUAGUUCUUGACCAAGGAGUAUCUUGUCAUCCAUCCAUGGGACACAAGCAUUAUUGACAGAAGCCAUGCUGUUUACAUCGAUACCGACAUGAUUACAGGGCGGAUCCCAUGUAUUUGUUAUAUUGUCAUGGAAAGUAUCAAACUCUACCGCAACAAAUGCAGUACUAGAGUUGGUAGAGUUUGGAUUCGGACCUGUGAGGCCUAGAAAGCCUCCUGUUGAUUGUUUGGGGAUCUGCGAUCCACUGGGAGCGAGAAAGAAAGCCAGUCCAUCAGCAUGAGAAGGCUCCUUACGGGAAUUGAUGGAGAAAGUAAAUCUACUGCUGAAAUCUGCCACAUUCCCUGUUGACCUAUCCCACAGGUGCAUGGGUUGAUGAUAGAGAGCUCGACCGACUAUUCCAUUGCUGCUCUCGGUUGCCUGGACUACAGAAAGUUCCAUUGUGGAGCCCAGUGCACUCGCAUUGCCCUGGAAUGAUAUGUCUGAUUGGAAGGAUGUGAAGUAGAAAGAAAUGUUGUCGAAGGAUUCAGAAUUUGCAGAUUGUAUGAUUAUUAAAAAGAAGAGUGUUUGUGCUAUAGCCCUUUCUGUCAAAUGCAUCCUCACUGAGCAGCGAGCCAUUGAGAUUCAGAAGCUGCAACGACGGCUGAUCUCCUUGUUCACUAUAUUUCUCUUCGUGGAAACUGCAUGCAGCCGCACGUGAAAUCCUGAUAUUUGAAGGAACAUGUAGCUAGUCAUCUCAUCAAGUGAAUCAUCAAAUGGAAAUAAAAAGGUCAAGCGUGCAAUCUGGUGAUGAUGUCCAUGAAAAGAAACUGUUCGAGCGAAAAGAAAUCUUUUUUAACUCAUUACAUACGAUAUGCAGGGCAGCAAAGAUUUGAAAGAAGCCAUCUUCGAAGCGCUUCCUCACGAUUCACGAUUAUUUUCCCAAGGAAAAGCCAGCAAAAACCCAUUUGAAGCGCGUCGAAGGGUGUACAGAAGUUAGUUCAAGUUCGAGCACUCCUUUAACCAAUUUUGGCACAAGGAGUCAUCUACCCCAACUCACACGGCGCAGAGCCAUAUUUGCGAUUUUCCCGGAAACAAAUUUUGGGGGUCGGGUGGUUAGGGGGUGCAUACGAAAGAAAAAGUGCAGUGGUUUUAUGAUGAGAUCGCUACGAAUCUGCAAAGUAAGACCAAGAUCUGCCUAGUACUUAAACAACAUCAAGCAUUGCAUUUUCUUUUGUUCAUGGACUAAUUGUUUUUUUUUUUUUUUGAUGCUGAGCAUCCGGCGUAGUUCACCGGGCCUAGCUCACCUUUGGGAGCACAGCACGGGGACUCAUGGACUAAUUGUUUCAUCUUCUGUUCACUAAGAAUAUUGGAACAAAAACUAAAUAGAACCAUUUAUCGUAUUUCAUUCAUAUUACCGCUUUAAUCCUUGAGAUAUGGACAUGAAUGACCCAUGUUCUUUGGUAAGGCCAAUAAUAAUUGUAAAACCGAACUCUGCUCCUGUUUAGGUCAAUAGAUUAAUGUCGACAAGUUCAACUAUCGAACUAACGAACCAACCAUGACCGAUAUUCAGGAGUUUCCGGAUUCAAUAUUAGGCUCACAUUCCUUACCGCUAACACCAAAAUCGAUUUAGAAGUUAGCCCAUGGUACUCGAUCAACCGGUGACACUAUCAAACAGAUAAUGUCUACUUUGGAAAAGAAGAAAUGAAACAAUGUAAGGCGACAGGGGCACAAUAAAAAUGCAGAAUUCUGCAACAACCCAGCAAAAAUGGCAUUAAGAACAAAGAGAAGCAUGGGACAAAACUGAGAAUUCCGAAACUAGAACAAAGUAUUUCUUUUGUUGCCUUUACCUUUGGAGCUUGGAUCGCGGAGGUAGGACUCGUCACAACAAAGCCAACGACCGCUUCACGGCAAGGACGUACAGAAAUGAUAUGAACCAGGUUUGAUUAUGCGGAAGAUAUUUUAGUCGAAUUGACGAAAACCUAGGCAGUACAUGACGGUCAAACUGAAGAAGAAGAAGUCCUCCUUAAGGAAAAGGGAUAGUGCUAAGGAAAGUGACUCCAUUGGGCAUUAUUCGAUGGUUGACUGGAAUUUUGAGUCUGCAUUCCGAGAAAAUAUUGGGUGGUCCGGGACCGCCACGUCAGCGUGGUCCCAGACCACUCACGCGGCGCCCGUGUAUGGGAGGACAAAAGAGAGAAAGAGGAGAGAGAACGUCAGAGAAGUGGGCCCGGUUUCAGUCCUUUGUCCCCUCCCCAUACACGUGACAUUGCGUGAGUGAUCCGAGACCACGCUGACGUGAUGGUCCGGACCACCCAAUAUUUUCCUGUCCUGCAUUCCUAGUACAUUUCUCCUUCUAGAUAGCUACGUUCUUUUUUUUCUUCUCCACUCGUGUGCUGACAAAAGAGGGAAUCCUAACCGUGCCACGCGUUUCCCAACGGACCACAUGUUCCUUUUUUUGUUUUUCACUUUUCAUAGGGUUACUAAACGAAGACUUCCAGGGUUGCUUGACCUGACCUUAAAAAAAAAAGGUUGCUUGACCUAAAAGUCUAACGAUAAAAGGAUCAAUAUUGCCUUUUCCUAGCCAAAAGGCCAUCUUGCAUUGAACACCACUUAAAAUGACAUACUGGCAAAAAUGGAUAAUAAACUGGUACAAUAUCAUCACGAUCCAUCUCGAGGAAGAACGUGGACAUACAUGGAAUUUGUGGACUUUUUUGGGAAGUUUGUUUUAAGAUAUAAAAGGUUCAAAUUGAAAAUUGAAGUUUGCAACAUAUAAAAAAUUUGUUACUGAGGUAUUUUCCCAUGUGAUCAAUUGAAGAGAUUUAAAGAGGAAAAAAAUGAUUGACAUCCCAUAAAAGCAACAUGUCAUCUUUGUUUUAUAUAAUGGCAUGGAUUAGUAGACAUAAUUUAUUAGGUAAAUCUAGCUUCUCAAUGUAUUUGAAUCAAUGUGUCAAUUUUCAUAAUGUUAAAUACAAUGUUACAAGCUAAAGUCAGCCACACCUAAUCUUUGUCUAUUUAGCAACUCCCAAUUAGUUUGCUUUAUUGACUCUGGUUUUGUUCCAACAUGGCUAAGUGCAAGAUUUCUCUAGUAUAGAUGAUCCUCCAUCUAUAUCUUCUAGAAAUUAAAACUAUUCCUAUUGAACUUGUUGAUUUUCACUCUCUUUUUUUCCCCUUUUGUUGCCAUCGAUUUGCUUUAACUCAAUUGAGUUUGGCUUUGAUACCAAUUAUUGCAAAAACAAGCGAUCAAGCAAUAAAAUUUAAAAAUGAGAAAAUAAAUGGAACAUCAUAUCUACGUGAUUCAAUUAGUAGGACUUAUUGACUGAGGACUGCAGCACAAGAUUUUAUGAUAGAUCAAUAGAUAAACUAGAGAUCAUAAUUAUACUUGAGUCAUUAGGUGUUUCCCAACCCAAAAAAUUACACCAAAUAAUUCACAUAGAACAAUAUUUAACCCUCAUAAUUUCUUGCCAAUCAUAUUGAUACCUAAAUUUUGCCUAAACAUUUAUGAUUAAAUUGCAUAGAAAUUUAAGGACUAAUUCGACCUUAAUAAAAAAAGAUUUUCACAUCACAUAGGCAUCAAUAUUAUUUGCAUAGACUAAUUUUUAUUUUUAUUUAUUUUACUACAUUUCGGAUAAAUAUGUAUUAAAUUAAAAAUUAAUUAUUAAUUUUUUUAAAGAAAAAAACGCAAACGCCCACGGGGGCUCGGGUUUCUCUUACCUCAUGCGGGCCUGGGCCCAACUCACCCAGCUCAUUUCCCCAGACCCUUCCUCUUCUCUCCUCCUCCCUCCUUCCUCAUGCAACCAAGGACAAGAGAGCAGACGGCGCAGAGUGGCAAAGAAGCAGAGCAGCGCAACAUGACCGGGGUAGGCGGGCGACGUGACUGGAGCAACUCGCCGGCGGCAGGCCCACCUGCCCCACGUACGGUCGAACGAGUCGUCCGACCCCCAUAAAAGGAGAAACGGGGGGGGGGGGGGGGGGUGUUCCGGUUCGAAGGGGAGGUUUUCGGAGAGAAGGAGAGAGGGAACCGAGAGAGAGGACCCGAGUCGGUGAGAGUCGGCCGAGAAAGAGACAGCGAGAGCUGGGUAGGGCCGCCUCCGGCGAUUAGCUCGCUACCCCUUUUUCUGCCCUGCUUUCUUCGGUCAUAGCCCAAUUGCGGCAGAGGCUUGCCGUCGCUCACGUACACUUAAUCCCAAGCGUCGUCAAGCCUUCCCCGGUCGGUCACUGCCGGGUGCCGCUUGUGGUCUCGUGUCGAUCGUGGUUGCGUUUGCGUAUUCGAGCCUUAAUCGGCUCGGUUCUUCUCUCCCAGUCGGCGCCCGUCAGGUGUUCGAUAAUAUGCUGCCUGGGUUAGAUCUGCUUCCGCGUUCUUGGUUUGGGGCUGGAUCGACGUUCCCUUUGUGUCGUUAAUCCUACGAUCCCGCCGCGAUCCCGAGCUUGGUUGUCGUCCUGCGGCUCCGAUUCCCCUUAUUCUUAGGUUUGGGCUUACUCCGUGGGUUGGGCUUCGUUUUUAUUACGUGUAUUUUGUGGGUGUUGCCAGAACGGGCUCAUUCAUGGAGCCCAGUCUGGCUGAGGGCCCGACCACUCGGGUCAUCUGACCCGAGCCGGUCCCGACCUGGGUCCGGUUGUUUAUGUUGUAAUAGUAUAUUAUUAUUUUAAUUUUUAAUUUUUUUGAAAAAUAUAUGAAAAAUCCGAGAAUAAUUUAUAUUUUCUAAAAAUCAGGAAUAGCUUUAAAAAGGGUUUUUGAGUAGUUUUCUUGUUGACACCUAAAUUUUUGCACAAUUUUUGGGUUAAUUUUUACUAAAAUAAAAAAAAAAGAACACACAUGACAUAUACUUUAGAAACAUUUUUUUUUUAUUUUAGGCCGCCGGUGAAGGGAAGAUUUUUUUUACAUAUUCCAUUAGAUUUUUCAUACUUUUAGGUAAUAUACACUAAGGGGUGUAUUUUGUGCAAAGAGGGGAUUUUUCUAGAUAGAAUAUGCGAGAAACACAAAAGGGAAUAUUACAUGAGGUAUGUAUAUAUCAACAACAUAUUUAGGGGGUAUCAUGCGAGCCAAAAAGGAAAAAAUAUAUGUCGUGAGGAUACAUUUGUUGGACCUAUAAAAUACAUUGCGAGCAAAGUAAAAAUGGCUCUUUCUUUUGGGUGAAAAAGUACACAAAAGUGAAAAGUUGAAAAAGUGACGUGAGAGAGAGACCAAACCGGAAAAAAAAAAAAAAAGCCCCCCACGCAACUGUUCAUCUUCCUCGUUGGGGGUGUCCCUGCUGGCGCCGCCUGCUCGCACCAUCGCCGUCUUGCCCGUCGCCGCCGCUGCUGUGACUCAGCCGCACCCAUGACGCCGGACUGCCACUUCGAACCUCCACCCGCGAGCCCGCGUCGAUUCGAAGCCCCUGCUCUGUUGCGCUCCGCUUGCAACCUCAUCACGACCUCCGAUUGGUGACCCGACACCAUGGAUCCAGUGACCUGACAACCCGAGGUUGCUCUUCGCUUGGCUCGUGACCGACACCAGGAGAUUCGAAGCUCCUGCUUUGCCCACGACGCUGCCCGCCGGUCUCACCGUGCCGCCCACGACGCUCCUUGUUGCCUCACUGCCUCGACGCCAUCUUCGCCUUGCUUUUGCCCGCGCGCUCGGAGUCCCUUGCCCGCGACGCCCACACCCAGACCCGCGAUGCUCCUUGUUGCCUCGUCGCCGUCAUGCCGCUCCCGGUGUCCUCGCCGGAAACCCUCGCCGGCGACUCCCCCCAAAACCAGCAGCCAAGAUUUCCCUUUUUUCUUUAAAAAAAAAAAAGAAAAAAAUUAUUAGGUAUUGUUGCUUUAUUUUAUUAGGCAAGUUUAGGUUUCUUUCUGUAUUUUUUAAUUAUUAUAUUUUUAUAUGUUGUUUUCUUUAAUUGAAAUACCUAUCUAUGCAUAAUUGAAAAUCCCAAUAUAUCAUCUGAUUUGCAAUUGCGCCAGGGUUUUUUUAUUUCAUCUAUAAAGCUUUAGAUGAAAUAUAUGAUCAAAUUGAAAUAAAAUUGAUAUUUUGAUCUUUAAGGUUUAAAAUCAAUUUAUUGAUUUUACUAGCGAAAUAUUAUCCCUUGAUCUGAACUGUGAUUUUUUUUUUUUUUUGUAAUUUUGAAUGGACUUGAUUGCUUUAUUUAUCUUGAAAUAUGCCUUAGUUAGAAUAUUGCAUGUUUUAGGGUUAUUUGCAUAUUUAGGCUAAGUAUUUUAUUUAUCAUGAAUUUUCGAAAAAAAAUCAAAAUUCAAAUAAAUCAAUUUAGAUUGCUAGAUUUUAAUUUGGAUUGCAUGUUUAAUUAUUUGGCAAUUAUUAAUUUCGAAAAUUAAUAAAAAAAAAACAACAAAAAAAUCAUCAUGCAUAUGUUAUGUAGAAUUAGGGCAUAUUUUGUACGUCAUUGCAUAUUAGGGUUAAAUUGCACUUAGUUUAAUUUUAGAUAAUACUUUUUCAUAAUUUAUUAUAAGUUUAGGUAUUUUUAGAUAUAUUGCAUUUUAGGAUUAUUUUGGUUAAGAUAAUAUUUUAGUUGAAAUUAGGAUUUGGCUCAACCUAAUUCCUAAUAUAAAUUAAAUAGGAUCUUAAUUUAGUUAGGUAAUUUUCACAUUUCACCAAAUUUGAAUUUCAUGAAAAAUACAAAAAAAUGUCAUAGGCUAAAUUAGUUUUAUUAUUUAGGAUCAAAUGCAUUCUUUUUGGAAAAAGAAAAAAGUGUCAUAUGCAUGUCAUUAGGGUUAGAUUCACUGAAAUGCUCAUUUAAUUAGAAAUUACAUGUCAUUAAAAUUAUGUUAUUUAGUUAAUAUUGCAUUGCAUAUUGCAUGAUUUUCAUUAAUUAAGUUAAAACAAAAAAAGAAAUUGCGUGUUAAUUAGAAACCGUUGAUGUGAAUUUUAAUUUAACAUUAACUUUGAGAUAAGUUUUUGUAAUUUAUUUAUUGUUUAUCUGGAUGUUAAAUUGAUGGAUUGCGUACCCGCAUGAAUUAUCUCAUAUGUUAGGGAAAUAGAUUUAAAAUUGAUUUAAGUUGUCUGCGAAAACAUUUUUGAAAAUAAAAGAAUGGUACCAAAAGGACAUUAGAAAAAUUUAGUGGUGGAGUUUCAGUUCCUUUCGGGAAAGGUCUAGAGUUCGAAUCUCUGCGUCGUCUGCCUUGUCGGAAAGGAACUCACAACUUGUCCGGGGCAGAAAGGGUGAUGGUGACUCUUAUGCUCUUCCAGGGUUUAUUCCGCCGCAAAAUGGCGCACGGAGGUUUUCUGGGUACAAAAAAAAAAAAAAAUCUAGUGUAACCAAGUCCCCGUACCUAUAGUUUCUGGUUCGUAGGAGUAAAGUAAACUCCCGUUACUUUACUCGGGUUUCUAAUCGACUCACCAAAAAUAAAUUAGUAGCGACUCCUAAAUAAAGUAUAUAUACAUGUUAAGAAUUUGAACAUAAGUAGCGAAUUGAUAUGGGUUUGGGAGAACCCGAGUUAAGUCUAAACUUAAUAAGCCAUUAGCCAAAUUAUAGGUGGUUUACCCAAAAUUUUUGUUGCGCCAUUUCUUUAAAAGUGCAUGAAAAGUAUUUCAAAAUAAUCAAAUCUCAAAGCUUAAAUAAGAUUAGGUAAUGUAAGGUAUUAAUUAAUUGACUGAUAUAAUCAAGUUUUCGAUUCUAAUUUUUCAAUUUCGUAAGAGUAAAGUAUUUAUCUUAAUACUUUACAUAGAUUUCUAAUCGACCAAUCACAAAUCAAUUAGAGGUGACUUUUAUGAAGAUGAUUUGUAGGUUAGACUUGGCCCAUAAGUCACGAAUUAGUGGGCUUAGAAGAUCUCUGGCUAAACCUAGACUUAGCAAGCCAUUAGUAUCCAUGCCCACGGGAGUGUUCAAAGAGGUCGUGACAAAUCUCACAAAAGAAUUCAUUGUUAUCACUACAAGAUUUAUGAAGUUGAAUAUUGAAAGCUCAUCUCGAAUACAAUUCGUGCAGAAGGUCCACUUCUUAUAUGUACUACAAUUUGAAUUUUAUCCAAAAUAGGAAAAUCCCUUUUGAGAAUCCCACUCAGAUUAUAAAACCUACUUGCCUAAGGAUUUCGGGGUUAAACUUGAGACCUGUAUUCAAGAUGACGCAGCUUUCUCAUAAUUCCGCCGUGUUGAAUUUUUCCACCAAUUCUCCAAGAAAAGCUUAGGCUCCUCUAGGAUUAACAUUGUUGGAGAAAUCGUUCCAAAAUAUUUUGAAGCUGACAAAAUGUUUUCUUCAGUCUAGUCUGGGUAUCUGCAGAUCGUCUAGUUUAAAGUUUGAAGACUUUAUGACUACCAAACUCAAGAUUCAAGACUCAAGAUUCGAGACUUAAGACUCAAGACUCAAGACUAUUCUCAUUGACAGUCUUUCUGAUCCAGUGACGAAGGAAAUCCAGAGCCGAAGUAUAUGGUUGAGGAUUUAAUCCUAUCGUCUGGAGAAGAUUUUUUUUGGUUGGAUAAAUAUAACGGAUUCUUUUGUUCAUAUCUAGAUCAAUUGAAGAUCCGAUAGUCGACGAAGUAUUCUUGGAAUGUUCUAUUUUUGGAAACCAAGAUCCUGAUUGUAUGGGCGAACAUGAUUGAUGGGCUAUCAUCAGGUUCUUUUUAUAGCUUGAAUGAUCUUCUUGAUUGAUUCCGUCCAAAUAGGUAGAUUGGAGGAAUUCCUUUGGUAAGUGCCAACGGUAUGAUGGCAUAAAGGAGUAUAAAAAGGAAGACGUUCUAGUUGUUUAAAAACGUGAUUGAUAGAAAAAUUCCAGAGUCUGAAGCACCUUGAUUAUUAGUCGAUACAGUCUGAGCGAAAUUGUAUACACAGAGAGUGUCUAUACUUGGUGAUACCUUGAGCGAGUGUGGUAGAUCAUCUAUACCGAGAAAUCAAGGAAGAUCAACACUGUAACAUCUCUUUGUUCAUAGUGGAAUCCAGCCAAAUUGGCUGUCAGUGCAGAAGAGUGGACGUAGGCUUGAAUCAAGCCAAACCACUAUAAACCGCGUAUUUAAUUCUCUCUUUCCUUACUUAGUCUUACAUUGAUUAUUACUCUUCGCAAAUCCUUCAACUGUCUAAAGUAUUGCGCAAGUAUACAGAAAUUAUCAAGAAAAAUCUUUGUAUACCUAUUCACCCCCUUCUAGGUACUCGUACUAGCAAUAUUAAUUGGUAUCAGAGCCCGUGUUCUUACUUUGUUUGAAGUGUUUUACUUCAGAGUAAAAGAUCCAUGGCUAGUAUGCUAGCACCAGGGCUGAUGGAAGGGCAAAGCAAUACCAGACCACCCUACUUUGACGGAAAGGAUUACAACAUCUGGAAGAACAAGAUGAAAGCUUUCCUACGAUCCAAGGAUCCUCUGGAAUGGGACGUUGUGGAAAGAGGAAUUACUCCUACUGCUGCAUCAAUCUGUGAAAGAGGAAAAGAAACUGUUGAUGCCAGCGGAAUGACUCAGGAAGAGAUAAACAAGAGACAAGCACUUGAUGCAAAAGCAAUUUAUUCUUUAUAUUGUGCCUUAUCUCCAACUAAAUAUAACAGAAUAUCUUCUUGUGUUACAGCAAAAGAAGUAUGUGAUAGAUUACAUAUCACCUAUGAAGGGACGGAUCGAGUGAAGGAGACCAGAAUUAACAUUCUCCUCGGUCAAUAUGAAGCAUUCAAAAUGAAACCAGGAGAAUCUAUAACUGACAUGUUUAGUCGUUUUAUAGAUAUUGUCAAUGGUCUUGAGAACCAAGGACAAAAAAUUUCUGAUCCCAUGAAGGUGAACAAGCUACUGCGUGGACCCUCCAAGGAGUGGAAUCAUAUAAAGACUUCAAUAAGAGAAACGCAAAGAAUUAUGCCUUUAUCUGUCGACGAGCUGAUUGGAACUCUUCAAUCAUAUGAAGUGGAACGAAUUAAUGAAGAAGAAGAUCCAAGAGGUAAGAAAUCUAUUGCAUUAAAAUCAAAUGAUGACUCUGAUGAUGCAGAUUCUGAAGAUGAUAUGGACGAUGAGGAGCUCGCCCUCAUGAUAAGAAGAUUCAGAAAACUGAAUAGAAAAGGCAGAAGGUUCAACUCAAAGAAACAAAGUUUCCAGAGACAGCAGACCAAGUCUGUUGAUGAUGAGGAACCAAACAAAGAUGUAGUUUGCUUCGAAUGUAAGAAGAAAUGACACAUCAGACCCAACUGUCCUCUUCUGAAGAAGAAAAUAGGAAAAGCUGAGAAGUUUCGAAAAGCUCUCAAAGCCGAAACUUGGAGUGAUACAAAAUGUGAAGAAAGUGAUAAUGAAUAUGCCAACAUAUGUUUGAUGGCACAUUCAGACUCAGACUCAGAUUCUGGAUCAGACUCAGACAGUGAAUUUGAGGUAAGUGAUUUUAAAAUUCCUGUCAAAGUCUCUAAAUAUAUUGAUGAAUUGUGUUUCAGUCUUAAAACUUCUCUCAAAAGGAUUUCCGAACUUAAAAAGGAAAACUCAGCUCUAAAACAAAAGGAAGUCAUUUUAGAAGAAAGAGUUAAAAGUCUAGACCUAAAUGUUUCUGCUCUUAAAGAAAAAGAAGAUGAUCUUUUGAAAGAAAAUGUUUUCUUAAAAACGGACUUAUCAAAUAUUUCAAAGAAGUUUUCGAUAGGAUCCGAAAAGCUUGAAAAAGUUCUUUCAGUUCAAAGACCUUACUUCAAUAAGUCUAGUCUAGGCAUGACAGCGGAAACAAUUCCCUUGAUUGAUUUUCCUAAAGUUAAAGAAAAAAUAAAGAAAAGACCGUCGAGAGAGGCUUACAAAAAUCAUUUCAAGAAAGUUUUUGUAAAGUCUGUUGGUCGAAAUGCUCUAAGGUGUUCAAAGUGUAAAAGUAAGGAUCACUUUGAAAAAGAGUGUCCUAUGAUUUGGAAGCCUGUUAAGAAAGUAUGGCCUAAUAAUGUUUAUCCUACUAACACCAAAGGACCCAAGAAAAUUUGGGUACCAAAAGAAAAUUUGAGACUCUCUUUUAAAUACAGGUCUCCGUCAAGAAAAAGAUAAAAUGGUAUCUUGAUAGCGGAUGUUCAAGACACAUGACAGGAGACUCAAAGUGCUUCGUAAAGCUUGUUCAAGUAAACGAUGGAAAUGUUUCAUUUGGAGGAAACGGCAAAGGAUGCAAUGUGGGAUUUGGAAUUGUGAAAAUUGGAAAUCUCACAAUAAGCAAUGUUUCUCUAGUGGAAGGACUCAACUAUAACCUCCUCAGCAUUAGCCAACUGUGUGAUACUGGUUUCAAGAUCUCCUUUCAAGAAGGAAUUUGCUAUGGAAUUAGUAAAGACUCUACUCAGUCUUUCAUGGGUCGAAGACAUGGAAACAUCUACCUCUUAGACAUGAAAUUGAAUGAAUCUCAAUGCCUAAUUUCAAUCCAAGAUGAAGCAAGCUUAUGGCACAGAAAGCUUGGCCAUGUCAAUAUGAAGCAAUUAGCCAAAAUCUCAUCAAAGCAGCUUGUUCGAGGUCUACCCAAAUUACCAAAUCAAAAGUCCGAUCCAUGCACACCUUGUAUUAUGGGAAAACAGGUAAGAAACUCAUUUAAGCCAAUAAAUCAUGUCUCUACUAAUCAUUUACUACAGUUGCUGCAUAUGGAUCUCUUCGGACCAACCAUAACCCAGAAUAUUGGAGGUAAGAAAUACUGCCUAGUAAUUGUGGAUGAUUACUCCCGCUUUACUUGGGUAUAUUUCCUUGCAAGUAAGUUAGAAACCUUUUCGUAUUUUGAAAAAUUUGCUAAAAAGGUUCAAAAUGAAAAAGGAUGUGUUAUCUCAAGUAUAAGAACAGAUCAUGGAGGAGAAUUUGAAAAUUAAGAUUUAACAAAAUUGUGUAAUGAAUCUGGAUUUAAGCAUGUGUUCUCCUCUCCAUACACUCCUCAGCAAAAUGGAGUUGUGGAAAGAAAGAAUAGAUCUCUUCAAGAAAUGGCUAGAACUCUUCUAAUUGAAAGUAAAAUUUCUUCACGAUUUUGGGCUGAAGCUGUUUCAACAGCUUGCUAUAUCAUCAAUAGAGUCUUCCUAAGACCUAUUUUUGAGAAAACCCCUUAUGAAUUAUUCAAAGGUAAAAAACCUAUUGUUUCAUACUUUCACGUGUUCGGUUGUAAAUGCAUUAUAUUGAAAAAUGCAAAAGAUCGAGUUGGUAAGUUUGAAGAAAGAUCAGAUGAAGGCAUCUUCCUUGGAUAUUCUACAUCAAGCAAAGCCUACAUAGUCUAUAACAAGAAGAGCCAGACGGUGGAGGAGUCAAUGAAUGUCAAAUUUCAAGACUCUAAGCAAGAUGAAUCCAGUCAUACUCAAUAUGAAGAGUCUGAACCUGCUCCAGACCUUCCUAAGCUUACAACUCAAAAAGUAUCUCAGACUCUGGAAGACCAGCAUCAAGAUGUUCAUGAAGAUUCAAAUAAAGAAAGAGAUCAUCAUCCAGACAAAUCAACUAGUAACUAGAAGCACAAGUCCAGUCAUCCUAAAGAUCUCAUUAUAGGCGAAAUUAAUGAAGGAAUUCGCACCAGAUCCAAAAGACGUGAAGAGUCUAGUGCUGUGGCUCUCAUCUCUGAAAUUGAACCAAAAAGCAUAGAAGAAGCUUUAUCUGAUGAAAGCUGGAUCGAAGCUAUGCAAUAAGAGCUCAGACAGUUCAACAUUAACGAUGUCUGGGAAUUGACAUCUAAACCAAAAGGUAAAAUUGUUAUUGGAGUCAAAUGGGUGUUCAGAAACAAGAUGAACGAAAAAGGAAAAGUCGUACGGAAUAAAGCAAGACUCGUGGCCAAGGGAUACACGCAAGAAGAAGGAAUAGACUAUGAUGAGACUUACGCUCCUGUAACAAGGUUAGAAGCUAUUCGUCUAUUACUUGCGUUUGCUUGUUACAAAAAUUUCAGGUUAUUCCAAAUGGACGUCAAAAGUGCUUUCCUAAAUGGAUUUAUCCAAGAGGAAGUUUAUGUGGAACAACCGCCUGGAUUUGAAGACCCAAAGAAGCCAGACUGAGUCUUCAGGCUGAAAAAGGCCCUGUAUGGUCUAAAGCAAGCACCUCGAGCUUGGUACAACAGACUAAGUAAGUUCUUAUUACAGAACGGCUUUGUUAAAGGUAAAGUAGAUACUACUCUAUUCAUCAAAAAGGAAAACAAAAGCUUUUUACUCAUUCAAAUAUAUGUUGAUGACAUUAUUUUUGGAUCCUCUAAUGAAAGUCUAUGCAAGAAAUUUUCUAAGUCUAUGCAUGAUGAGUUUGAAAUGAGUAUGAUGGGAGAAUUAACAUUCUUUCUUGGCCUUCAAAUAAAGCAAUUGAAGGAAGGAACUUUUAUUUUCCAAGAAAAAUAUGCUAAUGAUCUUGUCAAAAGAUUUGGAUUGGAAAAUUGCAAGAAGACUGAUAUAUCAAUGUCAAGUUCUUUGAAGAUAGACAAAGAUGAGGAAGGGAAGAAAGUUGAUCAAAAGCUGUAUAGGAGCAUCAUCGGUUCACUUCUUUAUCUUACUGCUUCUAGACCUGACAUUUUGUUAAGUGUUUGCAUCUGUGCUAGGUUUCAAUCAGAUCCUAGAGAAUCCCAUCUCAGUGCUGCAAAACGUAUUAUUAAAUGCAUUGCUUCAUCUUCAAGCAUUGGUAUUUGGUAUCCUAAGAAGGGAGACUUUAAUCUUCUAGGAUAUUCAGACGCAGAUCUGGCCGGCUGUAGAGUAGUUAGAAAGAGUACUUCAGGAACUUGCUAGUUGCUUGGAAGUAGGACAGUGUCUUGGUUUUCAAGAAAACAAAGCACUGUAGCUCUCUCAACAACAGAAGCAGAGUAUGUUGCCCUUGGAAGCUGCUGUUCACAAAUUCUAUGGAUAAAACAACAGCUACAAGACUUUGGGAUUGAAGACUCAUGCACAGAAAUCAAAUGUGACAACACCAGCGCAAUCAAUCUCACCAAAAAUCCAAUUCUUCAUUCAAGAGCAAAGCAUAUAGAAAUUCGACAUCACUUUAUUAGAGAUCAUAUUCAAAGUGGAGAAAUCUCGAUUCAAUUUGUUGAUUCAAAAAGUCAACUAGCGGAUAUAUUCACAAAGCCUUUGGAGAAAAAUCAAUUUGAUUUUAUCCGCUCUAGACUCAACAUUUUGAAGCUCGAAGAAGUUAAAGUCUAGAGACUCUCCAACCUUCAGACUCAGAAAGUUGAUAACCGUCAGACUCAAAUAUCUCAGACUCAAAUCUCUACGACUCAGACGUUGAUGACUAUAGACUGUAAGUUGUUACUUUAUCUAAACUCGAAAAGGUAUGAUCUUUCGUUUGUAGUCUCUGUGAAAAUCGAAAAACUUGUCUUUUCAAAAGGAUUAAUUUUGGCAGUUAUUGAUUUCGAAAAGAGGUAUUCGUACACUUUCCUUGUACCGAUUGAACUUCCCCUUUUCAAAACUGAGUUAUAUAUACACAGUUUUUUCUUUCAAUCUUCAAAACCCUAAAAGCAUUCUCCUCUCAAUUUGGUUUAUACUUCGAAUUCAUCCUCGAGAAAGUUGUCAUCUUUUCUUGGGAAAGCAAGCAAAGGAAUCUCUCAGCAACAAGAAGAAUGUCUUCUUCGAGGAAGUCUUCAAGAAUCGCGACAAGGGGACCAUAGAGGAUGAAGGCGGGACCUACCCACUUCGAUCUCACAGAGGAGGAAGAACUAUCGAGUCAGCAUCAGAACCCGACUCAUUCUCCACCACGUCAUUCAACGCCUUCUACCCCACAAGGUGCGGGUUAACAUCCGGAGGAAGAGAUAAUCGAGGACGCAGACCCAGUAAGAGUCCAAAAACCCUCAUUUACUUACAAACUUUACUGUGCGUUGAAAAGUACCGCGACUCCGAUGAAAUAUGUGGAUGAUUUUCUUAAAGAAAAGAACUAUGGGAAUGAGUAUAUCUUUCUGAAGAAAAUGGAGGAUUUGGGAAUUGCUCCCAAAGGUAAAGCAGAGGAAGCACUUGCGAAUAUUCCAAGUGAUCCUCGUAUGUCGGGACCAAAUUAUGACAAAAUGUUCACUGAUUUUCAACCGAGAAUGGAUGUUGCUGCGAAGGUAAAUGGAAAGAGGAUGGAGUUAUUUAAAUCGAAGGAACAGGAAAAUUUGUUCUUCAAACUGCUGAAACGAGGGGUGAUAAACCCUAGGAGUGUCGAUUUCGAUUUCUUGGAUGCUGUGAAUGUGAACUUGAGAGAGAAGUUCAGUCUGCUUCAACUGGAACGUUUUUGCACUGACACCACGGAUGGAUAUGCACAACUGACUGCAUAUUUCUAUUCAAAUCUUAGCUUUAUCGAUGCGAAUAGAAUAUCUUUCAGUGUUCGAGAUCAGGAUUAUGUGUUGGAUGUGGACAUGUUGGCGGACAUAAUUGGAGUUGAACGAUGACGUUAUCAACCAGUCAAAGUCUCAGUUGCUCGUGCCACAAUGGACCUUGUCGAAGAUAGAAAUAUUGAGGGAAAAAUCAUCUAUUCAAGGAUGCGUGCCAUCAACAUUGUGUUGCACAAAAUUGUUAUCAAUUGCAUUAGGCCGAAGUCUACAUCAAAGACUGAUGUGUCUAAUUCUGAAGCAAAAUUGAUGUACGCAAUCAACUCCGGGAAGAAGUUCUCUCUCCCUCACACUAUUCUCUUUCACAUGUACAGAGCAAUGUCGAAAGACAAGGGACAAUUGCCUUAUCCAGGUCUAGUGACCAAGAUCUUCAGACACAUGAAUAUUGAACCUCCACACACUCUUUGUGUUCGACCGUGCGAUAAGAUGGUGGUAGGAUUAAAGAUGUUGACAAAGAUGCGUCUGAAAGAACUUUCUAAGGCAAUGGAGAAAUUCAGAGUGAAGACUCCAGUUCCGUCUGCUUCAAAAAGAAAGGGAAAGGAAGCCAUUGGUGCCCCAUCCAAAAAGAAGAGAACUCUCAUCUUGGAGGAUGAAGAUGAGGAGGAAGAUCUCACAAUCACUGCCUUGAUAAGGACAAAACGUUAUGUUCCCCAAUCAACAGAACAACAGAAGAAACAGAGAGAAGAAGAAGAAAAAGACAAGAACAGAGAAGAAAAAGAGCAGAGAGAGAAGGAGAAAGAAACUGAAGAAGAAGGAGAAGAAGAGCAAGAAAAGUCUGCCGCUGAAUCUGGAGAGAAGGAUAUAGAAAAGCAUGAUCAUCACUCUUCCCCUCUUGAUGUCCUAGAGACAGGGGGAGUUGGCGAGCAAGAAAGGUCCUCACCUCAUGCUGCCAAUAGUGAAAAUCUAAGACAAUCUCCAGCAGCCCCAGAAGAAUUUCAGGCUUCUCAAUUGCCUGAAGAAGGUCACGAUACGUCAGAACCAAAUCUGCAAGACUUUACAGAAGAGCCAUCGUCUGCAUUCACUCCAUCUAAGAAAACAAAUGCUAGCACACAGAUAGAUAAUUCUGCAGAUUUUCGUCGUAUUAUGGAUAUUCUUCUGGAAAUGCGUGGCCAAAUCUAUGCUCUGGACUGUGAAAUUCAAGCCUUGAAGACUGCUGGACAAGCAUCUUCAGUUACCCUAGAUGAUAAAAUGAAAGACCUCGCUCUACAACUUCAAGCCAAUGCCAAAGGAGAGGAGGUAACACAUCUAAGGGAGGACUUGAAGAGGCUAGAAGGAGUAGUUCAGUCCAUGGGAGAUUUCCAGAUCGUGCGCAUUCCCAAGCAAACAUGACUCCUUUCUCACCUUUUUUUAAUGAUGACAAAAAAGGAGGAGAAGCAAUUUGAACCAACCAACCAACCAACUUUCUUUAUUUUUUGUUGAAUAUGUUUGUUUAUGACUUGAGUAAACUUGGGUGUAAACUUGAUCUUGACUGAAUUGGCUGUGGAUUUAGAUGCUUAACUGUUUGUAUUUACUUCAAGUAUUGUUAUAUGGUAUUACUCAUGAAAGACUAACCAAUUUUCUGUGGAUGCAGAGUCUGGUUGUUUUGUUAAAUUUUAUGAGAUAGCCAUAUUGCUUGAGAAAUUUUUUUGCAGGUCAAAGUGGUUCAAAUCUACAGGAAAGUUUUGUCACCAUCAAAAAGGGGGAGAUUGUUGGAGAAAUCGUUCCAGAAUAUUUUGAAGCUGACAAAACGUUUCCUUCAGUCUAGUCUAGGUAUCUACAGAUCGUCUAGUUUAAAGUCUGAAGACUUUCUAACUACCAGACUCAAGAUUCAAGACUCAAGAUUCGAGACUUAAGACUCAAGACUCAAGACUAUUAUCAUUGACAGUCUUUCUGAUCCAGUGACGAAGGAAAUCCAGAGCCGAAGUAUAUGGUUGAGGAUUUAAUCCUAUCGUCUGGAGAAGAUCUUUUUUGGUUGGAUAAAUAUAACGGAUUCUUUUGUUUGUAUCUAGAUCAAUUGAAGAUCCGAUGGUCGACGAAGUAUUCUUGGAAUGUUCUAUUCUUGGAAACCAAGAUCCUGAUUGUAUGGGCGAACAUGAUUGAUGGGUUAUUGUCAGGUUCCUUUUAUAGCUCGAAUGAUCUUCUUGAUUGAUUCCGUCCAAACGGGUAGAUUGGAGGAAUUCCUUUGGUAAGUGCCAACGGUAUGAUGGCAUAAAGGAGUAUAAAAAGGAAGACGUUCUAGUUGUUUAAAAACGUGAUUGAUAGAAAAAUUCCAGAGUCUGAAGCACCUUGAUUAUUAGUCGAUACAGUCUGAGCGAAAUUGUAUACACAGAGAGUGUCUAUACUUGGUGAUACCUUGAGCGAGUGUGGUAGAUCAUCUACACUGAGAAAUCAAGGAAGAUCAACACUGUAACAUCUCUUUGUUCAUAGUGGAAUCCAACCAAAUUGGCUGUCAGUGCAGAAGAGUGGACGUAGGCUUGAAUCAAGCCGAACCACUAUAAACCGCAUGUUUAAUUCUCUCUUUCCUUACUUAGUCUUACGUUGAUUAUUACUCUUCGCAAAUCCUUCAACUUUCUAAAGUAUUGCGCAAGUAUACAUAAAUUAUCAAGAAACAUCUUUGUAUACCUAUUCACCCCCCUCUAGGUACUCGUACUAGCAAUAUCAAACAUCUCCAAGAUCCUAGUUUUAUAGGUGGUAGUUGAAGUUUGUGGCCAAGUUAAAAGCCCGAAAAAGAUCUCCGACAAACGAAGAGAUAUGUUGCGUGUAUAAGUCGAUGGAUUCAGCCCAUAAAUAGGGAAUGCCGUUCGGUCAUGUAUACAACAGAGAUCAACCAAAUUUUUUUUAUUCAUAAGCUUGUAAUCCUUUCUCAAUAUUCCUUUUCACCCUUUGCUGUGUUGUCCCAAAACACUCAAACACGCAUUGUCACAUCAAAAUCCAUAUCAAAUACUACCACGGAUAUCUCACAUAAUAUGGAGCAAACAGAGACUGUAAACUAAAGGUCUGCUUGCAUAUAUUACAAAUCAUAGAACUAAAUUGUUGCAAUUCAGAACCCAUAUAAACAGUGAACUCACACUGUGCUUCGAAGCAAUGCAGAAGAAGAUAAAUUGAAAGACUUCUAGGAAGAGCUAGUAAAUGCAGACAGUUCAGUACGUAAGCGCUCGGUGGUUCACUACUUUUGAAGCUGAUGGACAUGACAUGCGACCAUUUGGGCGUCGAAGAUGAAGGCACGACAUAUGUUGAGAUGGGCAACUUUGAUGGGAGAAUGGGUGGGGAAGCAUCAAAGUUCAAAAAGGUUAUCGCUUUGCUUAUGGGAGGUUGUUCCUUAGGGUCUGGAUGAGCACAUUAGAGGCCUACAAUUAUCAAGCACUCCAAUUGUCUCACGUCAAAAUUUACAUUGAACUUCGGAUCUGCUGCAUCAAAUAGCUUUCCGAUUCCGUAAAGGUCUCAGACCCAUUCCAUGAGUUGAAUCUGGUGCUCUCGGUUCGAUAGCUCUUCUUCCACAUGCCUUGCAUGUAUAGAUACAUUCAGGGGCCAAAUAUCCCAUGUCUCGGCCAAUAUGGUUGUUUGUGAUCCUUUGGUGUGAUCAACUAUCCAAGCUAGGCCAAAAUUGCCCAAUUUAGCCUCGAAUUGUGCAUCAAGUAGGGUAUUAAUAGACUUUAUAUCCCUAUGCACGACACAUUGUUUGUUGCCAUGGUCAACACGCCAUAGGAGUAUUUCUUGGGUCCCGUCGACUGUUCAAAUCCUUCAUCAAUUGAUUGAAAAUCAUCUUCUUCUCCAUUUGGACCAUUUCUAUUUCUCCUUGGCCAAUAACGGUACCAGCCAAAUCCUGCAACGAAGAGAACCAAGACAAAAGAGCGUGAACCUAAGAUAGCUCAUACCCAUGACCUGUUCUUUUUUCUUUGAAUCGUACCACCCGUUGGUGUGUCGGGGACUUGAAGAGUGGAACUGAAAUUCAAUAAGAAAAUAGUAUGAGACUUGAAAUAUGUUCCCGUUGCAGCUGAGAAACCGAAAUUUACCCAUUCUGGCAAGUUGUCCGUCAGAUGGGCUAGAUGAUAGUGGAGGUUGGUUGAAUUAUUAAUAGAACCUGCGAAAACAACACUCAAAAUUCUUUUCCGUAGAAUUAAAUGUCACCUGAGCAUGAAGUUGUUCACCGUUGAGUAUGCUGUACUUUACCCACGGGACACAAGCGUGAUGGACAGAAACCAAGCUAUCUACAUCGAUACCAACAUGAUAACAGCCUGGAUCCAGUCCAUUAUUUGUGAAAGUAUCGAACUCUACUGCAACAAAUGCAAGACCGGAGUUGGUAGAGUUCGUGAGGCCUAGAGAGCCUCCUUUUGAGCCUUCAGGAAUCUGUGAUCCAUGGGGGGCGAGAAAAAAAGCCAAUCCAUCAGCAAAUUCCGUGCGGCUCUUAGAAUCGAUAGCAAAAGUAAAUCUACUGGUGAAAUCUACCACAUUCCCUGUUGACCUAUCCCACAGGUGCAUGGAUUGAUCAUAGAGAGCUCGACCGACUAUUUCAUUGCCCCUCAUGGCUGCCUUGACUAAAGAACGUUCCAUCGUGGAGCCCAGUGCACUCGCAUUGCCCCGGAAUGUUAUGUUUGAUUGGAAGGAUGUGAAUCAUUAAUUGGGGAUGAAAAGGUCAAGCGCGCAAUCUGGCGAUGAUUAUUAAAAAGAAGAGUGUUUGUGCUAUAGCCCUUUCUGUCAAAUGCAUUCUCACUGAGCUGCGUGCCAUCGACAUUCAGAAGCCAUCUUCUAAGCGCUUCAUCACGAUUCGCGAUCAUUUUCACAGGGAAAAGCCAGCAAAAACCCAUUUCAAGUGUGUCCAAGGGUGUACAGAAGUUAGUUCAAGUUCGAGGACUCGUUUCACCAAUUAUAGUCCAAGGAGUCAUCUACCCCAACUUGCACAGCGCAGAGUCAUAUUCGCGAUUUUCCCGGAAACAAAUUUUGGGAGUCGUCUGGUUAGGAGGUGCAUAAGAAAGAGAGAGUGCAGAGGUUUUAUAAUGAGAUCACUACGAAUCUGCAAAGUAAGGCCAAGAUCUGCUUAGUACUUAAACAAUAUCAAAUUGCCAAGCAUUGCAUUUUCUUUUGUUCAUGGACCAAUUGUUUCGGUCUUCUGUUCACUAAGAAUAUUUGCACAAGUACUAAAUAGAACCAUUUAUCGUAUUGCAUUAAUAUUACCGCUUUAAUCCUGAGAUAUGGACAUGAAUGACCUCAUGCUAUUAGGUAAGGCCAAUAAUAAUUGUAAAACCGAACUCUGCUCCUGUUUAGGUCAAUAGAUUAAUGUCGACAAGUUCAACUAUCGAACCAACGAACCAACCAUGGCCGAUAUUCAGGAGUUUCCUGAUUCAAUAUUAGGCCGACAUUCCUUACCGCUAACACAAAAAUCAAUUUACCGAACUCUGCUCCUGUGAUGGGUCGAUAGUAAUCCUCAAUCUAUACCUUCUAGAAUUCAAAACUAUUCCUAUUAAACUUGUUGAUUUUCACUUCUUCUUCUUCUUUUUUCCUUCUGUCACCAUUGACUUAGAGUAAAAAAAAGAAACACAAAAAAGUUGUUUCUUGAGAAAAGAAACACUUAUUCGAAGGCAAAAAAGAACAAAAACGAAAAGAACAAAAAACAAAACCGAAACAAAAUUGGAGCAAAAAGAACACACCGGCUGAAGCUUCUCCUUCGUGCGUGCUCGUGCUCUCGGCUGAAGCUUCGUUCUAGUGCUCUCCCUUUUCCGGCGUCUCUCCCAUCUCUCCGGCGGCUCCCACUCGGCUGAGUCUCCGGCGACUCCUCACUCCGGUGACUCACUGGCUGAAGCUUCCGAAUCCAGGUACGUUUCUGGUGCUCCUCCUUCUCCGGUCGACGAUGGGCUUCGGCGCGGCAGAUCUGGGACGCUUGCUUGAGGCUGCCGACGGCAGAUCUGGGAUGGCUCCCUCGAGCCUCAAGCGAGCGUUGCUCGCCCAGAUCUGCCGCAGAUCUGGGACGGCUGCUCGCUCUCGAGCGAGCUCUCUGCCAGCUCGAGCAGCAGCUCGAGCUCAAGCCGCAGCUCGCUCGAGCAGCAUCUCGAGCGAGGCUCGAGCGAGCUGCAGCUGUAGCUGCUCGAGCAGCAGCUCCAGCGAGCAGUAGCUCAAGCUGGCAGAGCUGCUCGAGCAGCAGCUCCAGUGAGCUGCAUUAGAUAGUUUUUUAGUCCAAAAUGCUAUCUUCUGUUUGAAAAAUUCAUUUCAAAUCGUUAUAUUUGUUUCCGGUAUCUGUAAUGUCCAGUGACUGUGAGUAUGCGAUCUUCAAUAGUAACUCGAAUAUUAUAGAAUGAGUUGCUAUUCUGGAUAAUUGGUUCUGAAUCACAUGAAUAUGUGUGUGUGUGUGUGUGUGUGAGGGCCAGUUACAGUGUAUUCAAGUUAAGAGGUCGUGGUGGUAAUCAUCUUUUGGUCCUUUAACGUCGAAGGAUUGUUGUUAGAAAUGAAAUUUUACUGCAAUUAACAACUCUCUUGCAUUUUGAUUUUGAUUAAUGCUAUUUGCUGCCGAUACAUCCGGCAGGCUUAAGUAUUUUAAUUUUGAUUCUCAGUGACGAGUUUGAGGCCAAAGAGUGCAGUGAAAGUCACCAAAGAUUAAGAUGAUGAUUUGUGGGGAUCCAUAGCGGCACCGGUUCCAAAGAGCGCCUCGAAACCUGACUGUAAAACCUGCCGUAACAACGGAUGACGAUCCAUGGGCUGCCAUAGCCACUCCUCCGCCUACCAUCACUGCCAAGCCUUUAUCGUCCAGUAGAAUCUGAGGAGCUAAACCCACCGCUCCAAAAUUGGGCGCACAGAAUAAACCGGACAUCUUCAUCCGGAGUGUAAAUCAGACAAAUCAAGAAACAAGAACACUAGAAGAAUCUGGGAGCCUGUACAUUUUUGUCUUCGUGGGGGGUGUGGUCGACCAAAUCAAUCAUAGCAAGAAUCGGCACACAUUUUGUUCGUGAUAAGUUCUUCCUUUCUGGCAAAAUUUAUCAUGUGUAUCAUUUCAUUUGUAACCACUUGUAAUGUGAUGGCUCUUUUAGGCCGGACAAACAUUAGUUACUCCUUAACGAAAGCGGGCGCACAAGUUGGUGCGUGUUUGCGACAAUCUGAGUCCCUGUCUGUUCCUCCUGCGUACAGUCAUUGAAUCGCAACUGCGGUUCAGCUGCUUGCGUGAGCAGCUCUUUCGCGCAUUUUGUCUUACGGCAUGUGGUGUUGUGCGAGGUGAAUUUGAUGGAGAUGUAUACUAUAUCACAAGAGAAAGAGUUGACGCCACGGAAAAUGUGAUAAAUUUAUCGCAAAAUAAGUUUUUGACCACUAAAACACAAAUUGAUACAUCCAGUUGAUGAGGGCUUGGAGAUGGGCUUAUAAGGGCACUUUUAUUUGCAGUGGAGGGUUCACAAGAGAGCUCGGUAUGAAAGCCAUAGCCGAUGGCAAUGCAGACCUGGUAUUUUCGUUUAAGGGCGCACAUAUGACCAUGUUGAAAAUAUUUUUCUUCACUCACCAUUUUUCAAAAUUAAAUUGAUAAGCAUUUAAUGAGAAUGAGAAAUCAAUAUCAAGUUUAUAUGCUUUAAAACUAAAAAAUAAAAAAGUACUUGAAAAAAUUUGAUACAAACUUUAAUUACAAAAUUUUCUACGAAAUAUGCCAUAUGAUCAUGUUAAAAAUGUUUUUUUUUUUUUUUUGGUAAAGAGUUAAAAAUGUUUGUCUUCACUAACCAUGAACAAAAUAAAUUUAAUGAGCAUUUCAUAAGAAUGAGAAUUCAAUAUCAAUUUUAAACUUUAUUUAAGAAAAUGUUUAAAAAAAAAAUUAAAACAGAAAUUUUUUUGUCGUUUACCAAACUUGUUUCUGUUCUUUUUAUAUUCUAGGAACAGAAAUUGACUGCAGUUAUUAAACGUGUUUCUGUUCUUUUUUCAUUCCAAGAACAGUUUUUUUUUUUUUUACACUUACCAAACGCGUUCUUUUGUUCAAAAACUGUUCCCCGGAACAGAAACACUUUUUUUAUUUUAUUUCUGUUCAUAGGAACAAAAAAAGAACAUAAGUGUUUCCAUGCGCACCCUUAGCAGUUAGCCCAUGGUACUCAAUCAACCGAUAACACUAUCAAACAGAUAAUGUUCAUUUGGGAACAGAAGAAAUGAAGCAACGUAAGGCGACAGGGGCACAUUAAGGGCGCGCAUGUUUUUAUUUCUAUUCCUUUUAUGUUCCCGGGAACAGAAAUAAAUAAAUAAAGUAUUUAUGUUCCGAUGAACAAUUUUUGAAUAAAAAAACGCAUUUGGUAAACUUGUUCCGGAAAUAAAAAAAUGAACAGAAACACGUUUGGUAAAUUUUAUUCUUUUUUGUUUCUUUUAAUUUUUUAAUAUUUUUAUUUUAUUUUUCAUUUUUUCCUUUCUUUUUUAUUUUUUAUUUUUUCGGUUGGCAGCGUCGCCUAGCCACGGCGAGGCUCGCCGGCCCCCGGUGAGGUCGAGCCUCGCAGUGGUUGGGCGAGGCUCGGCCUCGCCUUAGUUGGGCGAGCUCGGGCUCGCCUAGAUCCAGCGAGGCCGAGCGUCACCGGCCCCUGGCGAGGCUCGACCUCGCCUGCGCACAGCGAGGUCGCCGACCCUCGACAGUGUCGCCGGCCCUCGACGGCCGAUCGCCGGCCAUGGCCGAGGCCGGCGACCGGUGAAAGAAAAAAGAAGAAGAAAAGAAGAAGAAAAGAAGAAGAGAAGAAGAAGAGAGAGAAGAAGAAACGUUUCUUCAAAAUUGUUUAUGGAACAAGAAGUAAGUUUUUUUUGUUUCUUUUUUUUGUUCUUUUUGUGUUCCAGGAACAAAAGAACAAAAAAAUAACAGAAAAAGAACAGAAACGCAACCAAACGCGUUUCUGUUCAUUUUUAGGAACGUUUCCAUGCAGCCCCUAAAAAUGCAGAAUUCUGCGACAACCCAGCAAAAUGGCAUUAAGAACAAGGAGAAGAGCAUGCGACAAAACCGAGAAUUCCGAAAUUAGAACAAAGUAUUUCCUUUUAUUGCCUACACAUUUGGAGCUUGGAUCGUGGAUGUAGGACUCGUCACAACAAAGCCAAUGGCCGCUUCACGGCGAGGACGAACAGAAAUGAUAUAAACCAGGUUUGAUUAUGCCGCAGAUACUUAAGUCAAAUCGAGAAACCUAGGCAGUACAUGACGGCCAAACCGAAGAAGAACAAUCCGGUUCAAGGAGAAGAAAUAGUGCUAAGAAAGAGUCUCCAUUGAGUAUCUUUCUAUGGUUGACUGGAAUUUUUGUGUCUUCAUUCCUAAUACAUUUCUGCUUCUAGAUAGCUAUGUUCUUUUUUUCUUCUCGUAGAAAAUUCGUACUCGCCCAACCGUGCCACAUGUUCCUUUUUCUUUCUCUCUCUCUCUUUUAUAUAUAUAUAUAUAUAUAUAUAUAUAUAUAUAUAUAUAUAUCUUUUUAUAGGGUUAAUAAACAAAGUCUUCAAAGGUUGCUUGACCUAAAAGUCUAAUAAUAAAGGAUCAAUAUUCCCUUUUUUCUAGCCGAAAGGCCAUCUUACAUUGAACGCCAAUUAAAAUGACAUGCUCGCAAAAAUUGAUACUAAACUAAUAUCAUAUCAUCAUGAUUCAUCUUUAGGAAGAACAUGGACAUUCGUGGAAUUUGUGAGACUUUUUCAGGAAGAUUUUUUAAGAUUUCGAAGGUUCAAAAUUGAAAACUGAAAUUUGUAAGAAAUAAAAAUUUAGUGAUUAACGUUUUUUCCCAUGUGAUUAGUUGAAGAUAUUUGUUUUGCAAAUAGUAUGGAUUAGUAGGCAUAAUUCAUUAUGUAAAUCUAAAUAGCUUCUAAAUGUGUCCAACUCAACGUGUCAAUUUUCACAAUGUUAAAAAUGAUAUUAUGAGCUAAAGUUAGCCAAGUAAUACCCGAUGCUUGUCUAUCCAGUAAAUCUUAAUCAUUUUGCUUCAUUGACUCUAGUUUCUUUCUAAGAGGGCUAAGCGCAAAUUUCUCUAGUAUAGAUAAUCCUCAAUCUAUACCUUCUAGAAUUCAAAACUAUUCCUAUUAAACUUGUUGAUUUUCACUUCUUCUUCUUCUUUUUUCCUUCUGUCACCAUUGACUCGCUUUAACUCAAUUAAGUUUGGCUUUGAUACCAAUUAUCGCAAAAACAAGCAAUCAAACAAUAAAAUUUAAGAAUGAGGAAAUAAAUGGAACAUCAUAUUUAUGCAAUUUAGUCGGUGGGACUUACGACAUAGGGAUAUCAGCACAAAAUGUUCAUCAUAGAUCAAGUGAUAAAAGAGAAAUCAUAAUUAUAUUCGAGUCACUUGAACACUUUCGGUGUUUCUUGACCGCAAUUACACCAAAUGAUUCAUAGAUUACUAUAUUUAACCCUCAUAAUUCCUCGCCGAUCUCACAAAAGAAUUCAUAGGUAUCACGACAAGAUUUAUCAAGUUGAACACUAAAAGCUCAUCUUGAAUAUAAUUAAUGAAGAAAGCCCUCUUCGUACAUGUAUUGGAAUUUGAUCCAAAAUAGGAAAAUCCGUUUUGGCAAAUCCAUUCAAACUAUGAAACUUACUUGCCUCAAGAUUUCAUUAAGGGGUAAACUUGAGACAUAUUCCCAACAUGAUGCAGCUUUCAUAUAAUUCUAUCGUGUUGAAGUUUUUCAUCAAUUCUUCAAGAAAAGCUUAGGCUUCUCUAGGAUUAACAUCUCCAAGUCUCCAUUUUUUUUUCAGGCACCAUUACAAGUCCCUAGUUUUACACGUGGUAGUUGAAGUUUGUGGCCAAGUUAAAAACCCAAAAGAGAUCUCCAACAAAUGCAGAGAUAUAUUGCAUGUAUAAGUCGGUGGAUUCAGCCCAUAAAAUAGGCAUGGCUGUUCGGUCAUGUAUACAACAGAGACAAACCAAUUUUUUAUUUAUUCAUCAGCUUCUAUAAUCCUAUCUCAAUAUUCCUUUUCACCCUUUGCUGUGUUUUCCCACAAACACUCAUACACCACAUUUUCACAUCAAAAUCCACAUCAAAUACUGUUGGAAAAAUAUGGCUUCGAAUCAAUAGAGCAAUCAAGUUAGACUUUGAAGUUUGAUAUCUCUUUCUUUAAGGAUUUAUUUGCCUCACAAAUUGCUAAUAGUCACCGGCAAAUAUCUUCCAAGAUACGACAAAGUUCCAAAAUAAGAAUACUAGAUAGCAAUUCCAAUAUUACUCCAAGGUUUAUUUAGGAAACAAUUGAAAAAAGAUGGUUGUAAUUUUGGAAAGAAGACCCAAAAAGAAAAAUGAUCUCAAAUUAUUCUUCUGGAAAACUAACAUGUAUCUAUAAAUCGAUUUGAAAGAACAUAGGUAACUCUUCUUGAAAAAUUGCAAAGUAAACGAAGGUAUUCUUUCGAAAAAAAAGUUGCCCAAAUUAACAAAAGUAUCCAUUCGGAAGAUAUUGAAAAAUGAACAAAUGCAACUCUUCGGGAAAUGUUGCAAACUGAACGGGUAUCAUUUUCAAAGGUUGUCUUGAAAAGACAUAAAUAAAAAUUCGGAAUAAAAAAUAAAAAAUUAUUAUUUACUUUUUUAAUAAAUAAAAUUUUCAAUUUUCAUAAUUUCUGAAAAUUCUCAAUAAACAAAAACAACCUUUGAACUAAUUAAAGUUAAUAAUAUAACCGAAUGGAAUACAAAUAAAUAAAUAAAUAACAAAGGGGUUAGUGCUAAGUGUAUCUAAUAAUCACACACUCGUACGCGGGUAUGGUGGGUUCUAGUUCACACCUAAUCUUUUCUUUAGAUACACUAAAGAAACCCCACACUUAUUAAUUAGCCAUUUAUUCCCAGUUUUUCUUUCUAAGUGGGUGUGACAUCCAGAAUUUCUCAACCUAUUUUCUACUGAAUUAAUCGGGCAUUUCGUUGAUGUGUUUAUAGGGCUAUUCUCAGAGCCGAUCGCUCUUGAGAUAACUAGACUGUCUGGGUAAGUAAUUAAGAAAAUUUAAGGCACUAAACUUGAGAGUUCGAUCAAGAAUCGGCUUCUCGACUGUGCUCAUCUUUAGAGGCCAUUGCGGCACAGUUAAAAUCGAUUUAAGAUCAGAGAUAGGUCUAUUCGACUGAGAUGUAUGGCCGAUCGUGGGUGACUUCACUAAAUUGGAAAAUUCUCAUCAACCGACACUAAUUUGAUUUUACUGUCGUUCUGGUACCCUGUGUCCGUAAUUGAAUCCUCAAGAUUUUCACGAAUAUCGAGAGUCGUCAUUGAGUCGAAUGGGUUCAUAGUGGAUCAAAGAAAAUCGACCACGGGUUAUGUGUCUUAAAACGUUCUGAAAACCACCUGGUAGCCUAGGUUACGCUCUGAAGGCACCAAAGGAAAUUAACCAUCGAUUGAAGUCCGAUGUCAGAAUUGAUGGUUCUGUCAUGUCACAAUNNNNNNNNNNNNNNNNNNNNNNNNNNNNNNNNNNNNNNNNNNNNNNNNNNNNNNNNNNNNNNNNNNNNNNNNNNNNNNNNNNNNNNNNNNNNNNNNNNNNAGACUUUUUGGGAAAGUCAGGUUAUGGCCGUUUUCAUUCAAUUGAAGCCGGGAAUUGAUUUUGUUGGCGAAAUUGAGAAGCAUGGGGGAUUCUUGGAUAAGGAAAUUAAUCAAUUUGAUAAUGGAAAUAUCAAUUGAUUUUUUUGUGAGAGUUAAUUGAGAGAAAAUCAAGAGGGAAUUUGGAUGCAGAAUCAAAAGUGGGGACCGAGUGCUCUAGUUGGAAAUUCUUUUAGGAAUAAAUGAGCUAAUUCAAAAGAAAAUGGGAUGAGAAUUUCCUAUAUAGGAAAUUCUUUUUAAUUCCCUCCCAUUUCCUUUUUCUCUUUUUCCAUUUUUGGCUAAGCACCAUUUGGUUCCUUUUAUUUUCCUAUUCUUCUUUUCCUUUGGCCGAAUCUCUCUCUCUCUCUCUCUCUCUCUCUCUCUCUCUCGUGCGAAUUACCCCCUCCACCAAAUGCUUGGCUGUCCCCCUCUUGGCUUUUUCACUUUGACUUUUCAAACUUCUUCACUCUUAUCUCUCUUCUCUCUCUUUCCUUUCUCCCCCACUCUCUCAUAACCGACUCCUCCUUUCUUGCUCGUGCUAACCAGCGAAGACAGCAAAGUAGAAGCAGUAGCCACCGUCGUUUGAAGAUCGGAGCUGCUUGCCGUCGCCGCCCAUGCUCCGCCACUGCACGCCACCUCACUGAACCGCCAACCGCACCACCGCCUGGCCGUGUGUGCCGCUUUCCCCUGCAACUGUCACACCCCGAUCCUCGGCACGCACACAUCCUUCUCUUGGUCAUUUUUAAUAUGCGAUCCCAAGACUAUAUAUCGCCAACCCUUUAAUUUAUUAAGCACAUGCGAAAGCAGUUAUAACUCCCCAGACAAUAAAUCGAUGGGAUAGAAAAGCAGGGCCAUAUUUUUCAUAUUGAAACUUAUAACCAAACUUUUAUACAAAACACAAACUAGAGCACUUCACAACUUUUUACUCUAAACUCUAUUCACAUCAAAAUGGAGAUCUCAAAAGAAGAUAGAAUCUUAGUCCAUCUGGGCUGUACUCAAGGCCCCUCUCGGGAUUAUCUUCUUCUUCCAAAAAUCCUUCUCCUCAAGUUUCACCUCCGAGUUCUCCUUCUCGGACUCCUCCUCCUUAGCUCCUCAACGGGGUCCUGAAAUGAUUUCCCCAAACCAGGAUGAGACUAUGUCUUAGCUAGUUCUACCCCCACUAAGGCUCGAUUAGUAAACUAUUAUACUAUAGGCUGCCUAAACACGCACAGGGUAGAGGACUUACCUUAGUCUCAGAUCCCACCUGCAAAUCAGCACAAUUCACAAUAGGCACUCAUUUACUCCAAACAAAUUGAACUAAUCGAUUACAUGUCACACAAAUCAUUCCCCACUGAGGAGUAAUUAAAAGCUAGGCCACGUGCAUUCUCCAGGACGACAUUCCAAGUCUCCAAGCCACGUGCCUAGAACCUUGGGCCCACGUGCAUUCUCUAAGGCGACCUCUUCGCCAAGGUGGUACAUCAAGUCACUGAGCCACGUGCCCUUUUAGAUGCUAUUUUCGAAUACUUGACCCACGUGCAUUCUCUAAGGCACUAGUUCACCAAGAUGGCGCAUCAGAUCACCGAGUCACGUGUCCUUUUUACGAUGCCCAGGCCCACGCGCCUUCUCUUAGGUGCUAACUCACCAAAGUGAUGCAUCAAUUCACUGAGCCACGUGUCCUUUUAGAAACCAUUCAGGAACGUCGGGUCCAUGUGCAUUCUCUAAGGCACUAGUUCGCCAAGGUGACGCAUCCGAUCACCGAGCCAUGUGCCAUUUUAGAUGCCAAACUCUGUCACCGAGCUAUGUGCAUUCUCUUAGGCGAUCUCUUUGCCAAGCUGACAUAUUCAACUACUGAACUCACAUGCAUUCUCCAGGUGAUAUUCCAAUUCACUGAGCCCACGUAUUUUCUUUCGGGUAAUUACCAACUUACUUUCGAUACCGACAACCAAUGCCCAACGAUUUCUCAAUCAAAUAAUCAAAUCAACUAAAUAAAGACAUUCUAAAAUUCACAAUUUAAAUCAAUUCCAUACAAAUUGCAGCUCAAUUAAAUAAAUGGACUGCACCACAACAAUCAGCACGAGAUUCCGGUCGUCGGCCAUCUCAAUCUUAAUUUCUGAAAAAUAAAUAAAUAAAUAAUUAAUUUCGAAAAUUAAUUAAUAAAUAUUAAUAAUUCAAUUUAGCUCAAAAUAAAGCCCAAUUAAGUAAACGGACUUCAACACAAUCACCACCAUAAAAUUCUGGUCACUGGCCAACCUAGUUGAAUUUUCGGAAAAUAAAUAAUUAUUUAAUUUAAUUCCGAAAAUUAAUAUUUCAAUACCAAAAAUUCCCCUUAGGCCCGAAAAGCCUAAUUGGAGCCCACUAAGGGUUGGGAAAAAUCACGAGACACUUUCAAUAAAUAGUAGACCACGUCUCCUUGCCAAUUGCACACUCAAUUUGGCUAAUUCGCAUCACAAUUGACUAAUAAACACUAAUCCAUACUAAUCUAACCACCUAAACCUAAUAAAUUAAAAGUAAACCAACCUUAAGCAUAAUUAGCCAACUAAUCAGAGAUUAGUGAGAUUACUCACCAGAAUUGUGCGCAAAAUGUAUCAAUCUGACAGGGACGACACGAGGAACGAUUUUUCCCAAAGCACGGCUCGGGUUUGGGGCCCGGAAAUGGCCCAAAAGCGGGCCCGAAGGUGCUGGAAACGCACUUCGUGGGUUGCUGUUCUUGGCUGGCCGGAGCUAGUCCGCCGGCCAAAAUAGCGAGGCGGAACCGGCGAAGGGUGAGGGGGACGCCGGGGAGGUCUGGCGGGGUCGAACGACGGCCGGAGGUGGUCGGACGGGGGCUGGACAGAGGUUGGGCAGUGGCUGGAUCGCACGGGGGAGCACGCUUGGGCGCGAGGGACGGCCAGCGGAACGUGCGGCAAGCGGCGGCUUCGGCGAGCUGCUGGUUUUGUUCUUCCUUAGCUUGCUGGUUCGCACGCGAAGAAUGAAGAAGAAGUAGAAGAAUUCGGUCAUGUGGGGUGGGAAGAAGAGAGUGAGAAGAGAGAGAAGAGGGAGAUAAUCAUUGACCGGUCAAAGAGGGAAAAAGAAAGAGAAAGAGGGCAGGCGGUGGGGGCUCGCACGAAGGGGGGAGAAAAUAUUGGGUAGGUUUUACACUCCAUGUAGGCGAAAUGUAAGACCAUAGAGAAGUCGACAUGUGGCAAAUUUGAGCCCACCUGUCAGGCUCCACUUCUCCGUUAACGCUUCGUCUCUCUCCCCUUUACUCUCUCCUCCCCUCCGUUUCUGCAACAACUCUCUCUCCCUCUUCUCUCUCUACUUCUCUUUUUUUUUUUUUUCUGCUUGCGACGCUCUCUCUCCCUCUUCUCUCACUACUUCUCUUUUCUCCAAGCACCGUCGGACUCGUCAUCGUCCUCAAGCAAGACGAUUGUCAAGGCGGUGGCGGCCACUGUGGCCAGCUCGCUAGUCGUCGCCACACCGUUCUUCUUCGCAAUCCAAAGGCGGAGAUGCCGAAAGGGUCCGGACCAUGGAUAGGCGAAAGCGGGAGGCUUCAGGUCGAUGCCUCGUGGGGACUUUGGGCAAUUCGGAGGGCAUAUGAUCAAAGGGCUCACAAGCACGCCGACACUCAUACAUGGCUGUCACAACCGAGAAAAUAUUCAGUGGUUAGUGCGCGCCACGUCAUCCGCUGACCUGGUGCGCACUAACCAAUGCAAUACCGCCACGUGUCCCCGAGCGGGACCCGCUGAAAAAGGAAGGUGCUGGUUUUUGAUCUCGGCUCGGCUCGGCUCCACCGACGGUCAGCUUAUUCCUCCCGCUCAAAAUUUUUUCUCUCUCCUCACUCGAAUUUGUAGGGUUUUUCUCCGUCUCCUCUCUCGCCUUUCUCACUCUUCCCUCCCCCCCUCUCUCUCUCCGACGAACAAGACGCCUCCGCCUCUCUGUGCCACCCCUCUCCGCCUCCUCUCUGUGCCACCCCUCUCCGCCUCUGCCUCCGCCUCCGCCUCGGUUCCUUUCCUUCUCCGUGCAUCCCUCCGCCUCCGCCUGGGUCGCUGGUCAUCUGCCUCUGGCAUCUCGGUCUCGUUCCCGAGCGGCACCAGGCCCCCCGCCGCUAACCGGGCGCUGUCCUGAUGCUGGCACGCUCUGUCGCGAGGGAGAUCUCGGUGGACUUGGGCGGGGUCGACGGCGCGGCGAAGAAGGAGUGGCCUGCUGCAUUUUCUCUCUCUUUUCUCGGUGAUUUCAGGCUUGACGUCGAAGCAGAGAAGGAGGAAGAACAAGAACGAGAUGAAGGAGCAGAAGGAGAAGAUGGGUCCUUGCUUUUCUGCUUCUGGGUUUAUCUCUUGAAGUUCCCUUCUACCAUUUUCCGUCAGGUAGAGGAAAGCCACCGUUUUUCCAUCUUUUUUUCGUCCUUUUUUGGUUCGUUGGUUUUUGAUGGGAGGGACGGUGUUUGUUUCUCAAUUCUGUGAAUUUUUUUUAUGUUUGGAGAGGUUGGGUGUUAUGAGUUGCUUGUUUGGCGGUUGUUUUAGCGAUGAUCACUCACCGGUUGUUGGGUUUUGUGAUUUGGAGGGAUGCUUUGCGUUGGUUUGGAUCGAUCACCGUUGCUCGGCUCUCAGGUUGUGUCUGUCCGUCUGAUUACGACGAGUUUGAAUCAUUGUGGAAUUUUCCCAAGAGUGUGUUCUCACGUUCACUAAGUCUAUUGCUGUGUUGUUCCCGUUGGAUGGUAUACUGAGUGUCAAUGCCUGUUGGUGGAAACAAAGCUUGAUUUUUGUGGAUUUGUCUGGGAUCACUCCUUUGUAAUGCAUCAAGUCUUGUUUUCUUUUCUGUCCCCUAUCGCGAUCUAUCUUGGUUUGUGACACAAUGGACUAGUCGAAAAUGGUGAUUAAGGGAUGAUGUAUACCAUAAUCACAAAUAGUGUUGCCUGUCACUUCUCUUUUCAGCUCAAAGUUCUAUGGUUAAUGGGGUUAAAAAUAUUCUUUCACACAGGUGAACUCAGAUGUCAAGGAUGGUUUUCCAAUUCUCGUUUUGAAUGGAGAUAUGAGACUAACGCUUCUGCCACCGCUUCCUCCACAAAAAGAAUCUCCUGUCCCGAGCCCUCUCACUCACCCCAAGUGCCCGCCCCCCCUUCUCUCUGUCUCGAGCCCUCUCACUCACCCUAAGCGCUUCCCUCCUCGCCGUCAUCGACUUUCCAGCUGCGGCUCCAGAAAUCGCCGGCUGCCGACUGGCCUCUCGACCUUCUGUCUUCUACUCCUUAUUUGGUCCCCAUUUCGGGCUCGAGUACGUAACCAAGGAUUUUGAAGCAAAAGAGGUUUGCGAGGCUAUAUUGGUGGCGGUGCUAAGUUUUGGGGUUUCGGCGACGCCAUGACAGCCGCGGGGAAUAUUGUGGUGGAGGAGAGAGAGGCGUAUGGGUACUGUGAGACCUCUCUUUGUCCUUUGGCUUUUUUUUUCUUUUCUAUUGCCUCUGUUUCAGGAAGCAUGGAGGCUUGGUGAUAGUGGCUGCUUUGGCUUCUAGGUCGAGGCAAAGUUGGAUAGCUUAUCAGGAGGCUGAGGGGGAGAGUUCUUCAUCGGCCCUUUUGACUCCUGAAGCAAGUCGUGUCCCGCCAUUCCCACCGGAGUAUGUUCUACCGUCAUCUUUUUUAUCAUUAAUCUAAGUGGAAAGUUCUAGUGUGGAGGGUUAAGCUUCUUAUACUGCUAUCUCUUCAAUAGUUUGUGAGUUUAUUAAUUCCGUCCAAUAAUUUUCAUCUGGAUGAUCGUCGCCGGAUGGAAGACGGUAAAUACAGGUUAUGUUUGAUCAAAACUUGAUGGCUAAGGGUUGAAAUUCUCCUUUUCGUUUUGUUUUACAUGGGUAGACACUCAACUCGGUUAGAUUGAAAGGCAUACUAGCUGUGUAAUUCCUUUUGUUUUUUUUAAGCUUUUGCUUGGAAACUUGAAUAAGGUCAUUAUUUCAGUGGUGGUAUUGAAGCUAUGAAUAUGAGAAGUCCAAGAUAUUUGAGUGUUGUGACAGACCAUUAUUAUUAUUAUAGCUUCUUAUUGCAUAUUCCUUCCAUGUGCAUAAGUUAUUAACACUUUUGUAGUUUUUCAAUCCUGUGACAUCCUGUUUGGAAGUAAGUUGAAGAUAUAAAUUUGAAUCAAACUUGGUCGCUUCACCCAUAAGUUGGGAAUUAUGGUUGAAUCUUGAAAUUGUGUUAUAUCAUUAGUUGUCUAGGAAGCCUGUACUAAACUGGCCAUUCUUUUGAUAUCCUGCCCAGGUAUCUCCCUCUGCAUAUCUUAAGUUAAUUUUAGACUUGGUUCUUGCUAGAAGUGAAAAUGAAAAUUGUGCAUCAUGGUUGCUUGACAUGCUGUGUUUUGACACUGCUAAAAACCAAUUUUAUGUAUGUAAAAUCAAGUAGCCGGAAGGUGUUGACUAUGUUCUGAUGGCAUCCAAAUUCUUCCUCUUCAUAAUCCUGCAAUGUCACAUAGGAUACAGCUACUCAAGAUCAUUUGUUUAUAGCACGGGUUGUCCAAAACUUUUGGCUGGAGUAGUCCAUAUGGAUGCAUGCAAACAGCCAUGUCCAUGUGCAUGAGGGUACAUAGACUUUUAUUACAUUUACAUUGGCAUGGAUGAGAACUACUUUUGCUGGAGCAAUUAAGAGAGUUGUGAUUAUAUAACCAUGGGCAAUAUGGUGUUCCUUUGCACGAUUUUAAGGCAACGGAAUAAUUGAAGUUAACUAUUAGUUUGGUCACAGGACUAUCCAGAAUCGGAGACAUAAAAUGCACUUAAUAAAAGCAGAUGGACACAUAUAGCAGAAACGUUUCUUGUUUCUUCUCUCUCUCUCUCUCUCUCUCUCUCUCUCUCUCUCUCUCUCUCUCUCAAUCUGAAUGCCCCAAGCGCCAUUCACACAUUUUUCUACUGGAGCAUCUGACCACCAUGCCAUAAUGAGGAUAUUUUUCAGUGCUUUUGGAAAUUGGUGUACGCAACAGAGAAUUCUGUAUUUUUCCCCUCUCAUAAGUAGGUCUUUCUGUUAGAGGACAAGCUAGGUUGAUUUGUCAUGGAAUAAACUCUCUCCAAAAGUAAGGGGUAAGGAUAAGUACAUCUAACCAUCCCUAGAACCUACAACUUCAGAGCCUUGUGCACGGGGACAUCUUAAUUUUCCUCUUAAAAUAAGUAGGCCUUCUGUUGUGUUGGUCCAAUUUUUUAACAGGUUAACCCUUUAAUUUUUCCCGCAGGACUACAAUGAAGAUGGGAAGCUCAAAUUCUCCGAAUUUUCUGACUUGAUGAAUGCUUUUGGAAAUCAAUUGGCUGCUGACAAGGUUAGAGUCAGUUGUUGAACUGCAUCAAUAUUGGCAACUUUUUUCUCCAUGUUUCAUUUGUAGGACUCAUAAACUUAAAUUGUUUUCUGUGUCAGAAUUAUGUUUGGGACGGGAAUUGAUGUAAGGGUACUUAUUGUGCACUAGCAUACAUACAUAUGUACUUGCAUGCAUAUUUGUCUGGUUGCAUAUGUAAAUGCAUAUACAUGAUGUGCACAUAAAAGCAAAAUGUGUGAUGCAGCACACAAGCAUGCAUACAUGAAAGAAAUUGAUGGACAUAUGCAGCGACAACAAAAAAGUUACUUGUUUUAGUCUAUGCAACCAUCCACGAGGAUAACAAGGCUCACUUCCAUCAAGAAAAAAUAAUUAUCCUAAGUUUAAAACAAGUAACAGGGAAUAUUCUACAUCAAUAUAUGUAUAUAAUUUUCAUAGAUUUGAGGUGUUUAGUAUUAACAGUCAAAUCAUGAGCUCCACAAGCAAUAACCAUUGUAGACACGCCCUAUAGAAUAUCUCUCACAUUCUUAAUCUAAAACCCAUUUAGAACUGAUCAGAGGCUGCAUAUUAGUAUUUGAUAGCUUGGCCAAAUGUAAUCAGUGCUUGUGCAAAGAUAUCUAUGUUGGAAAUCUGCCUACUAGAUGAAUUCACACAGAAUGAUUGUUCUGUAACUAUAAGUAAGGAGAAAAUAUGGGCCUCCAUCUUUCAAGAUUCUUGCUCUUAAUGUUUUUUAUGAUCACUUCUGUUUUUGUAGGUGGGAGAAAUAUCAACGUGAGGAGGAAGCAGCUCUUGGUUUAAGAAAGCGUGUCAGAAAAGUUGUUUCGUAUAGAGAAUCAUAUGUAGCACAUCCAAGUGAAAUGGCCAACGAGGUGUUUUAUCUGAAUUGCUUUCUCUUAUGCUGUUAGGGGUGGAAACUUUAGAAUAAGAGAAGCGUAUGUCGAUUGUUCAUUUGAUUAAAAGUCACUUUUAUUUAUUUACUUCUUCCUAAUAACUUCAGCUUUAAGCACUAACUAUUGUUUUGGACAGUGCAGUUCAAUAUGAUGCAAAUUUUGGGAGAAAUUUUAAAAGGUAAACUCACUUUCUUGGAUAAUAAUUUUCAUAAGAACUUGAGUGCAAGACACCCAAAUUUCUAGCACAAAGGAUUCAAUCCAUAAGAAUAAUUACAUGACCAGCUCAUUUUUGUCGCAGCAACACAUUGUAUCUUUGGAAACUCUUAUGCUGAAUUCAUUAUGUAAUGGCAAGGUUGUUCAUGGUGGUAUGUUGAGCUUGUAGCUGGAGGAAGUAAAGUUCAUGCUUGCUGCAAAACCAAGAGUCAGAACAAAAGUAGGAGUGACCCAUAUAUAAGUGGGUAUGGCAUUUUCUACUAUGACUGAAAUAUGCACAUUUUACAAUCUUUUGAAGUCACUAACUUACGUUUGUACAAAUUUUUCGACAGAUUAUUGUGAGUAUUCUGCUGCUAGCUCAACUUGUUCUAAGGAUAAAUGGGUAUGACUCAUUCUUUUAGAAUUAAAGUUAGUUUUCCCUUUAUCUGGCUUCUUUAUAUGAUUGGAUUUUUUCUUUGAAAAAUUUGUAGAGGCCGCAGAGGAUAAUAUCAUUGUGCAUAAUGUUGAUAAAGAAUUUCAAUUUAGAAUUGGCAUGACAUUUGCUAAUGAGGAAGAAGCAUAUAAGACAUACAAUGCAUAUGCAAUUUCCAAGGGAUUUGGAGUGAGAAAAGGAAAAAAGGCUAACAAUAGUAAAGGAAUAUUACGAACAUGCACAUAUCUUUGUAAUUGUGAAGGACACUCUCCAUUGAUCCCACCUCAUGAACAAAGAGAUGUUUAUAGGACUGUGAAGAGAACUGGAUGUGAAGCUUGUAUAAAAUUCAAAAUUGAAAAUGAAGUAUGGAUAGUGGACAAGUUUAAGGAUGUUCAUAAUCACCCUUUCAUCGAUGAUAAACAGAAACACCUCAUACGAUCAUACCGGCACAUGACGAAUACUAAUAAAAGUAUUUUGACUUCUAUGGCUGGAGCUGGUAUAAGGGCUACAAAAUCAUACUCCUAUCUUAGUGGUGAAGCAGGGGGACAGGAGAAUAUUGGCUUUAUUUUACGUGAUUGUCAAAAUUUCUUACAAUCGAAGAGAAGGAACUUGAUUAGUGCGGGUGAUUGUCAAACUCUCAUUAACCAUUUUAAUUGCUUACAAUCAAAUGGAAGUAAUUUUUCUUAUACAUUUCAACUGGAUGAAGAAUAGAGAUUAACCAACUUUUUCUGGUCUGAUGGUGUAUCGAAGCUAGACUAUGAAAGUUUUGGAGAUGUUGUGAUAUUUGAUACAACUUAUCGUACAAAUAAGUACAAUAUGAUAUGUGCUCCUUUUGUUGGAUUGAAUCAUCAUUGGAAGAAUCUCUUCUUUGGUUGUGCAUUUUUAUCGGAUGAAAUAAUUGCUUCUUUCGUUUGGGCAUUUCAAUCUUUUUUAAAGGCAAUGGGUAACAAAGCACCCAAGACUAUUUUCACCGAUCAAGAUCAUGCCAUGGCGAAUGCCAUUAAGACUGUUUUUCCAAAUACUAAUCACCGUUUAUGUGUAUGGCAUAUUGGGAAAAAUGCUACGCAUCAUAUUAGGCAUCUUCUUGGAAAGUCGGGUUUUCGUGAUAAAUAUUGGCAUAAACUUUUAUAUCAUUGUGAAUCUGAAUUGGAAAUGGAGAAUAUUUGGAAAGAUAUGUGUCAAGAAUGGAGCUUAGGGGAUCACAAGUGGUUGAAUAGCAUGUACCAAUUGCGUAAUAAUUGGUGUCCUGCGUUUUGCCGAGAUACUUUUUCUGCAGGAAUCAUAUCCACACAAAGAAGUGAGAGCACAAAUAAUAUCUUCCAAGAUAUGGCAUGCAAGACUAUGACUUUGUCUGAAUUUGUCGGUCAUUAUGAGAAACAAGCAGAAAAAAUGCGCAAUUCUGAAGUUGUUGAUGAUUUUGAGUGCGCUCGAGGGAAGCCACAGAUUGCAAUCGGAACUAGUGGAAUUUUGAAACAUGCUGCAGAUGUAUACACACAUGUCAUUUAUAGAAAUUUUCAAGAUUUCAAGAUGCGUUCUUGCAUGUUUUAUCCGUGUUUAUUUAUAGAUCUGAAACUGAUGGACCAUUGCACACUUAUGUCGUGGCAAAUGAAAAUAGUGAAAAGAGGCAUAUUGUUCAUUUUAGUCCGAGUGAUUUAACCAUUACAUGUAGCUGCAAGUUAUUUGAAAUGCGAGGAUGGUUGUGUAGGCAUACUUUAUGCAUUUUGGCAAAUGUUGUAAAUCUUAAAAGUAUUCUUGCACAAUACAUUUUGAAGAGGUGGACAAAAGCAACAAAACAAGGGGUUCAUUGUGAUGUUGGACAAAGUUCUCAUGCUGCGGUAAAGUCUAAAACAUUGCGCUUGAAGAGGUUGAUGCAAUUAUCUUUCAGUGUUAUGAAUAUUAAUGCACAUCAUGAUGUUACGGAGGAGCUUGCGACUACAACCUUGCUGCGUCUUUACUCUCAUAUCACAAACAAAAUGCAAUCUUUGACGGGUAAUGAUCAUAUUAAUUUAUUGGCAAGAAACAAUGAAUCUGAAGAUGUAGAAAACAAUGAAAUUCAAAUAUUUGAUCCUCUUCAAAGAAGACCAAAAGGUAUACCAAAUACUCGAUUGAAGGGUAGUAGUGAAAAGCGAAAGAGAAAAGUGUCUUCAUGCAUUGGAGGCACCUCACAUAAGGUAUGAUACUUGUUUAGUUUUAUAGAAUGAUUUCAUUAAUUAAAAGCAUGAAGUUUAUGAUACUCUCACUUUUGUGCAGGAUUGACCUUCUGUGACCUUCAUCAAACAAUUUUUUGGCUAACUUAGACUACACAAUCUUUGUUAGUAGUUAUCUAUUAUUUUUUGUUCCAAUAUCGGGAUGAACAGCGAAGCUACUAAAGCUGCUCAAAGGUUUCUUUGUAUCUUGUAGCGGCAUUUUGAUGUUUGUCUGUCAGCUGAUGUUGUUGCUCUACUUAAAAAAAACCAACAGUUUGCUUUCACAUACAUGUUCCAUUGCAUUUUAGGAGGUGAAGGAUUUGUUGGCUAACAUGGAGCAAGGAGCAUCAGAACCUCUGCUAGAUUCCUUUCUUCCAGUCAUGAAGGCACUAAUUUCUGAUUCUCUUUUGAAACAUUCUGUUGAGGGUAUAAGAGUUUCUGUAACAUGUUACCUCACUGAGCUUUUGAGGAUAAAUGCACCUCAAGAAAUGUUCAAUGAUGACCAGAUGAAGGUGCAACAUCUGUUAUCCUAAUUUAUAAUGGCUAUGUUGAUGUGGCCAACACUAUUCAAAGCUCCUGGUAGUGGGGGGAAAGAUGAGCAAUUAUAACAAUGCUGUAUUAGAGGUAUAAUCGUAAUUUUUGUAGUAUAAUUUGAUUAUGUUAAUUGGUGCAGUGCUAUAUUUUUAUUAUCUUUUCUUCAUUAGAAAGCCUUUUUUUUUCCCUUCAAUUAAAAUACUGAAGUAUAUCAGAAAGUUUCUAUUGAACAUUUCUGAUGCAAUAAUCAAACAGUAUCGGAACUGCUUCUGCUGCUAUUAUUAUUAUUAUUAGUAGUAGUAGUACUAGUAAAACUGAAAUAGUUUAAAAAGCUCCGCUGAAUAUUGUGGUUACACUAAUUAGAUAAUGUUGACACGUUUUUUCUUACUUUUUCCUAAUUACUACGUGGUUUAAUCAUUGUGCCCUUUUUUAAAAAAAUUUAUGUACUCAUGUAUUUUCUUAAUAAUUUUCAGGAUGCUGGAGUGCUUGCUGAAGGAUUAGUUGGACUUGGAAUAAAGGCCUGGUGGCCAUUUGAUGAGAUGUGAGCACUCUAGACAUUCACUAGCAAUACUUGAUUUCUGUCUUGGUUGAGCAUGUUAUUUGUCAAUCCUCAUCUCCUUCUUUCACAAGGAACUGAAAUUAGGAACGAACGCGACCAGAACAGUACACAAGGAACGAACGCGACCAGGAUGGCGGACGUUGUCGAAGGCGGGGAAUCUUCUCACGAUGUUCAGUCCCUCCUGUCUUCUCCAGACAGGGACUUCCUCGUCCGGAACAACGGCGAUCAGGUGAAACUCAGUUCUCUUCUUUCACUCUUGCUCUUUCACUGGAUGAGGUGAAAGAAAAAGAAUUAUGGGUCAGCGUCCUUGUCCAAGUUCUCGUGGCCUUCGUCUUCGUGUGGGGUUGUUUCGCUGAUCGGUUCUUGAAUUUCGAACUGGGGGAGUCUGUGGUGACGAAGCCGUCGGUUUGUGAUGGCUAAGGUAGCGAAUUUAGUUCAAGAGAAGCUAGAGUUGGUCUGAUCUAGGAUCAUCAUUUUUCGAGUGCUGUCCAUUUGGUUCCUUCAGAAACUGGAUGAUUGGUAGUUGAUGCAUUACUUUUUAGAGAAAGACAUGUUACUUGGAGUUGGAUCGGGUGGGAGCAGUGUAUAUGGAUCCGAUAUUGCUAGAAGUAAUGCUCUUUAGUGUAAAUGCUCACACCUUCGGUGUGGUAUACUUGUUUUGGUGGAGAAGACUGCUGAUUUGCUAACUAUUUAAUGAGCAGUGCGUAAGGGAAGUGCUUCUGCAGUUGGCAUUUGGAUGUGUAUCUUGAGCAUUUUCAGGAUUUUUGUGUGGUGGUCAAGUGAUCUAGUGUGCCUUGAGCGCUGAUUACUGUAUGAAAGAACUCAAAUUAGGAAUCUUUUUGUUCUAUAUCAGGUUAAGGUCGAUAGCUUGAAGGGGAAGAAGAUUGGCUUGUACUUCUCCGCAUCGUGGUGCGGUACGUGCCACCGGUUCACCCCGAUUCUGGCGGAGGUGUACGAUGAACUUUCCCCAAAUGGUGAUCUGGAGAUCAUUUAUAUCUCUGCAGAUAAGGAUGAAGGGUCCUUCAGUGGAUACUUUUCCAAGAUGCCGUGGCUUGCAAUCCCCUUUUCCGACUUGGACAAGCGCAACAGCUUGGAUGAAUUGUUUAAGGUGAGGGGGAUACCCCACCUUGUCAUUCUCGAUGGUACAGGUACGGUCUUAACAGAUAGCGGGGUUGCGAUUGUCCGUGAGUAUGGAGUGGAAGGUCACCCUUUCAUCCAAAGAGUUGAAAGACCAGGAAGAAGCUGCUAGGAUAAAUCAAUCAGUGACCUCUCUUUUGGUCCAUGGAUCUCGUAACUUCGUAGUUUCGUCCAAUGGGAAUCAGGUAAACCUAAAAAAGAUCUUCGAUGCAUUUGAAACUGAUGGUCGCAUGUGCUUAUGAUUCGGUUUUCCAUCCUCCUUUUACUAAUAGUUAUGUGGCUAAACUAGGUUCCUGUUACUGAGCUUGAAGGGAAAACUGUGGGUCCGUACUUCUCGUUGUGCGUGCACAGGGCAUGCGUCGAUUUCACCCCUAAGUUACUGGAGGUUUAUGAGAAAUUGAAGGCCAGAGAAGAGAGUUUUGAGAUCGUUCAGAUACCUCUUGAUGAUGAUGAAGCGUCAUUCAACCAAUCCUCUGGAAGCAUGCCAUGGCUUUCAUUACCAUUCAAAGACAAGAAAUGCGAGAAGUUGGUGAGGUACUUUAAGCUGUCGACCCUACCCACUCUGGUCAUUAUCGGUCAGGAUGGGAAGACUGUCCAUCCCAACGUUGCCGAAACUGUCGAAGAGCAUGGCAUCACAGCUUACCCCUUCACUCCAGAAAAGUUUGCGGAGCUUGCAGAGAUAGAGAAGAAAAGGGAAGAAUCUCAGACCUUGGAGUCGAUCUUGGUUUCAGGGGAUCUGGAUUUCGUCAUUGGAAAGGAUGGAACCAAGGUAAAUUUGUUUUUUCCCCUAGAAGCUAAUGACUAGGGAAAUUUUUAAUGUCUACAAUGAGGUCCUAAAUAUUGUUGUCCCUGGGUUACUUGACCUGAGGAAAGGAUUGAAACCAGGUCCAUAACUAGGAAAAUUCUUUCCAUAUAUGCAGUUUUCACAUGCCUUCUCCAUUGAUUGGCGGUUCAUCUAAAAGGUCGUUUCUUAACUUUGAUUGCAGAUUCCAGUAUCGGACUUGGUAGGGAAGACUGUCCUGCUUUACUUCUCGGCACACUGGUGCCCUCCUUGCCGAGCAUUCCUGCCGGUGCUUACGGAGGCAUAUGAAAAGAUCAAGGCCACAGACGAUGCCUUUGAGGUGAUCUUCAUCUGCAGCGACAAGGACCAAACUGCCUUCGACGAUUAUUUUGCUCCGAUGCCAUGGCUGGCGCUCCCCUUUGGUGUUGAGAGGAAGAAUUUCUUGAGUCACGAAUUCAAGGUCAAGGGGAUCCCCAUACUUGUAGCCAUAGGCCCAACGGGCCGACGGUGAGUAAAAAAGCAAGGGAUCUUAUAAUGGACCACGGGGCUGAUGCUUAUCCUUUUACUGCCGAUCAUCUCAAGGAAAAGUUCAAGGAAAGUAUAAAAGGCUGGCCAGAGAAGUUGAAGCAUCCUUUGCAUGAAAAGCACGAGCUCGUUUCUGCUCAGGGGAGAAGGUACAUAUGUGAUGGCAGCGGUAAGGCAGGGGAGGGGUGGUCGUAUUAUUGCGAGGAGUGUGACUUUGAUCUCCACCCAAAAUGCGCUGUUAAAGAAGAGAAAACGACUAAAAACGAGUUAGAUGAAAGACGAUGAAGCAGCUGGGGAGGAAGCAGAGGAAGGAGGAGAUGCCAAAGAGGGAUGAAUCUGUGAUGGUGAGGUCUGUUAUAAGGCCUAGAAGUUACUGUCUAGUAGUUUCGUUAUAUAUGACUUCUUUGAAGCAGUUCUUUUUUUUUUUCUGGGUGGAUGUUUCCGAGCUUGAUCUGCAAAGGGUUGUAUGUGAGAUAUAUGGCGUGUAUUAUGACUUUGACAAUUUGCUGUCGUAAUAUAAUGUUCAUCGUCGACUAGCCGUGUGCCAAACAGAGUGGUAGGCUUGAAUAGUCCGUUUGUCAUGCAAGUGUCUCCGUCUCUCCUUUUGAUGAUGCAGCUUCGAGAUUUGCAUGCACACUGGACUUAACAGAACAUGUUUAAUCAAUACGCUUUGUAUGGAUCUUUCCUCAAGUCCUGGUGGUUAGUUCUUGUUCAGUUUAUGGUUAUGGUAAUAGGUCCUCUGUUACAUCAGCAGAUGGUGACUCUACAUCUGGAUAUGCUGAUAUAAUUUGUGGCAAUGAAAAGUUACUCAUCCCGCAUUAAUUCUCCAAAGUCUUGCUUGAUGAUCCCAUGCUCCCGGAAUGCAUAUUGCUAGUCUUCUUAAGGAAGAGCGAUCGUAAGAAACAAGACAGAAGAAGUGCUGCAAAAGUAGUUCCUUGCUGAUACUCAAUAGUGAUACUACAUGCUUAUAGAAGCAGUUCGGUUUGCAAGAACUGUCGGCUUUUCUAGGCCGAAUUGUGCAGCUCUCGUUCACGAAAUAGCAUCUGUGAGCAAUGUCUAGUUGUUGGGGAAAGAAGAUGGAUUAAUUCAACUUCCCCUUAUAUCAAACUCAAAUGUAAAUGUCAGGAGCAUGAGACUUGAUGUUCAUAAAUCUUCCACUUCGUCAAAGAGGUAAAAUUUGCAGAUUGAACCAGUACAUUUGACUUCGAUUGUGCCUUCCUUCUUUAGCAGAAAAUGGAACUUGGUACAUUCAAAGACACCGUAUGCUUUCAAUUUCAACAUUUCCACACUUCUUUUUCUCUUUCUCUGGUAAGAACAAAGAAAUGUUGGCAUUAACUGCGUUUCAAGACUAAACCUAAAUCUAUAGAUUUUGAUUGAGUCUAGAAUGUCGAGAAAUGUUUGGAGUCCCAUGUGAUUUACCGUGGCUGAAUCAUAAUCAAGAAAAUGAACCAGUGGUUGAAGUUUAUCCUUUUGAAGACAUGACUCCAUCACAAUUUUAAAAAUUGGUCAUGUGUAAGGUUUUACUUUUCUUUGUACGGUAAGUGCACUUGAAAUCUUAAAUAACAUUUAAAUUAAGAAAUCAAAUUUGGAUAAAAAUAACACCUUUUUAGCUUUAUCAUUUUUGUUGACUACGUUAGCUCCAUGUGAGAGAAAAAAAUAGUAAAAAAGCUAUUCUGUAGUCAAGGGCCAAAAAGAACUUGAACACAGCAUUUUGAUAUUUGAAUAACAAAGUUUUCAAGAUAUCUUCUAACAAUACAAAGAGUGAGAAUUAAGAACCACCUUAUUCUUUAUAACAAUAAUUACAAAUUCAAUAUUGUUCUGAUUUGCAAAACUAACUGAAAGUUAAGUAAUGUCGAUUUUGAUUGUAUAUCUACACACUCAAAAGCUGCAGAAAUUCUUUAGAUCCUCUUUCUUGGCAUAUCAGCUUGGUAUUAAUCUUUGAAAUGUGAGGAUACAGAUCCUUGGAGUUCCUAAUCGUCCCCUCGGUGACUUCAGUAGCAAGUGAUAUAUCUGCACAAACAUUCGAUUAUUUAUAUGCAUGUGCUGUCUCAAAUGCCAUUUACAUAUGCACCAAUACGUAAUUAGUUGUUUAAAUUGAAUAGAAUUGGGGAAACUAAUACCUUGGGCAACCAGGCUUGAUGGUGCAUGGGUCCUCUCCUGGGGACAGAUCUGGCUUACCUUCCGAUGGCUGAACUUCAGGUGUUACAACAGAAUUCCCUCCACUCAAAGACCUCUUGCUUGGAAAAUGGGAGCCACCAAGCAUUCGAAUACAUAUCCCAACCUGAGGGCUACGUGAAACCCAAUACAUAUCCCCAUCGAAAUCCCCCCACCAGCUAUUUCAUCGGCCAAGGAGCGCAGUCCACUAGUAGGGAAAAAUAUAGCAUACUUUGAAUUUCCAACUUUUGUUUCCAGAGCUUCCACAUAUGUAGCGUUCAAAACAAGAAUAUCCCCGAAGUGCAAACCAGGAUUGCAGUAUACUAAUACCUUCCCUGAAAUUUGUCCACUGUCACUGCAUUGAUGAUUCAAGCAAACUAUUAAAUAGUAAAGACACCCGAAACAGCAUUAUAACAUCAAAGCCCAAUAGGUAAUUACACCUUUUCCCCAAAGUUGUGAAUAUCAAACUCAAACGUGGGUUAACAAGAACAGAACCAGAGAUGGGUUGUCAUCAAAGCAAUAUAACACCAUUGAUGUCUAAAUCCAAGGACCAGAUAUGGAGGCAUGUAACUAAAUUAAACAUCUAAGCCCCAGACAAGCAUAGCUACAGUUAUUCUUUAGCACUUUUAAGAAUUCCUGUGGGAUUGGCUGUCCCCAUUAGAUAGUAAGAAUCUGGAAUAGGAAUCCUUCCUCCUUUCAAACUCUUCUUUUCAUCGUUCAUCAGGAUGGACAGACGAUUCUGUAGGUAUGUUUCGUCCAAAGGAAUCCCAGAUAAGAUCAUUCUAGCUGCAGUCAAACCAUCCUUCUUGGCAUGAUUCACCUAAACUGUUCAUACGGUAAAAGAACAAAAGGAAAACACAAGGGAAAAUGUUUACACAUCAAAUAGCAAUUGAAGGAAAUACGCACCCAGGGGAAGUAAAAGCAGCAAAGAUGAAUAGAGAUGCAUUUUUUUACUUAUGCAUAUUUCGAAUCAAGAAAAAAAAAAAAAAGAAGAAGCACAUCCAAGUAUAGAAAAAAAAAAUUGGAGAGAAAUCUCUUUUUGGACUGUUUUAAGAAUAGACAUUAUUUCAACAGUCCAAAUGUUCAGAAGAAUACUACCUCUUAGAGCUGCUCGUUUACUAGAGAUGACACUAUUUGCAUCUCCCAGAGCAUUCUCCACCAUGUCCAAAAGAAAUUCAUUAGGGACCCCGCCAUAGCUUAAAAGUGCAAUCAAAAUCUUUGAAAGAUAUGCAGGCUUUGGUUUAUUACUGCAUCAAUGAGGACCAAGGUCUAAUCAGUUCUUCCGAAAAGGUAAAAUUUGAUGGCAGAAAAAGCUCCAAACAAAAAGCAAUGGGAUUUAGUAAUUCACAAGAAAAACAUGUCCCAUGUUCAAAUUAAACUGCUGAAAGAACAAGAAAGCCGCUAACUUUUUAGUCUGUUUAUGUGAGGGUCUUUUAACCAGCUAACUCCAAAGGAAAAUCUUAACACAAUGAUCAACAAAUCAAUAGCCAUAAUAUGCUGCUAUCACUGGAUGCAGUAUGAACAAAGAUGAUAUAUAUGUGCAGUAGCCAGCAACUACGUUUUAAGGGCAAACUCAGGUUUAAUGAGAUCAUGACAACUAAAUUCAAGUUAUUUUGCCAAGAUACCACCAAAUUAGGAAAAACCAAACCUUUAAGCUGUUCAAACUGCACUCCUCACUUUUCAGUUUUGACAAUUCUUGUCUUUUGCAAGAGCUACUUUAGCCCGUUCCACCUCCUGUUUACAUAUGGCAACACCCUCCUGGUACACAGCAAUUUUUUUCUUCAGCUCAUCUCGUGCUGCUUUUCCAGCUUCCCGACAUGUAUUCGGGCAGUUCACUUUAUCACCGUAUUCGUCACUCCCAUCACAGCAGUCUGAGUAUCAUGGAGCAGGCAAAGAACAUAUGUUAGGAGGAAACAUUAAGAGGAGGCAGAAAAAGAAUGACCACCUGCUAGUUAACCUUUGUCCAGCAGAUGCUAAAAUCAGUGUUACAAGAACUAGAACAAUCUAGUAAUAAAUCACAAGGAAAACUUGUAUACUAGAAUUGACUGUUCCAGUCAACUGUACACAUCUGACGUAUGGAGAGAGGACAAUCAAUACAAAAGAACAAGAGGUGGAGAGAGCUUGUACUGUACAAUUUAAUAUUGAUUCCAUUAUUUAUACACGCAUCGACACAACACAUUGUCAAAAUUGCCUUCUAUUUCUGAGGUAUUCUAUUUCUAUCUACACCUUCAUGAGUAAAAGAAGAAAAAAACCGGCGGAGGCUAAAACCAUCUCCCAUUACCGAUGCGCCUACCCAGAAAUAGAAUGCAGAGAGUUCCAUACCCUCCAAAUCGUGCAUCAAUCCACUAGUCAUGUAGCUACUCCCAUAUGGGUCUCGUAAGUUCCUUUUUCAUGGCGGCUUCUCUUGGAUAGAACAUAAUUGCCAGCACCAAAGAGAAUGUAAGGCCAACUAUCCUGCCGAAUGGUUGGAAAGGAUGAGUCCCCGUUAUCCAAAUGGGGAAGUUGGGGUUGUAGAUCAAAAAGCCACUUGAUUGGAGAGUGCAACUUGAGACUAAUAUCCCUGUGCGGAGCCCAAUUGGAACACAGGCUACCUUCACCGAUUUGUCGAAGCCCGGCCAAGCUUAGUGAUAAGAGCCACAGCCCAGGUAUUGCCCAUGGAGACCUGAAAUGUGGCGGAUAAGUCAAUUAUCUUUGAUGUUGACUCAAAGGGAAGAUCAAGUCAGAAGCAAAUUGAUCAAGUGCAUGACGGAAACAUGAACCAGGUUCCAAGCAGACGUUUUAACCUAAAAGGGAAAGGAUGAAAGAUCACGCUAAGAAGAAAGAACGUUGUCCUCAUUGUAGCGGCUAAAUGUGACAUGACACAAACAGAUCUAAGCCUUUCAAGAAGGCAAGUUUGGCAAGUCAUAAGUUUGCCUUCAUCGUCAGAAUGUUUAUUAUGUAAACUUCUCUCGAUAAAAAAACAAAAAAUUUGCAAGCAUGUUCAAUCUAGAACCAAGAUUUCAGUAAGAACAGGUUAGCAGUGUUGCGUGAUUACUUUAAAAUAGAAAAGGGUGGUCACCAAGUUAAAACCUGAUUUCCAGGAGUGCUGAUUUACUUGUCAUAUUUUGAGUAACAUGCUUUUCCUGGCCCCAAUAGACAUUUUCCCACAACAAAUGAAGAACAGAAAACUGAAGGAGAAAAUCCAAGGACAAAAAUGAGUUAAAAAGUUGGAAGGAACAUGACUUAAUUAAAGCAAUGUACCUCCAGAACAGGGAGAAUGCAAGCCCUGACAAAAUAAUUCCCGGGUGAUAUCCAAGAUCAGCAGCAAUGUCUUCAAUUAACCAUGAUCUGAAAAGCAACUCUUCCACAAGGGCAACAGAAGUUGCUGUAACAGCACCUCCACCAACCAAGAUGAGAAUUUGCCCAUAUGACUUGAGCCUUGUCAUGGCAUCUAAUGACGAUGAAUGAAGACUUGGAGGCCAAGAAAAACUCACACAGCCUAAUAAUGAAUUAACAUACUGUACAUCAUCAACAGGGGCUUUGCUUAAGCAACGAAAAAGAAGGCAAGGCAUAUAUGCCUUGGCAUGGACAUACAACACCAGUCCAGCAACUGAUGACAGCACAAUUGUUUUUCCUCUAACCACAAACAGCACGAUUUUUUGAAUCAUAUAAAAAUCUAUUGAACAACUACAAGAAAACAUAUUUUUACUAAAUCCAAUAGACACAAGGAUGGAAUGGGUGCCCUUAUGGCUUCAAUACAUCCAUGACAAGUCUUGCCUGAAAGAAACAGAUUCUGCAGCACCUUGAAGGCCCCUUUCUGAAAUCUGAGGACAAUCUUCCACCACAAGCAACUCUAACUUUUGUGAUCCCACAAGUGGCUUCAGGCCAUCAUCGGUGACUCCUAGGCACUUUACCAAUCGCAAGGUCCGCAAAGAAGGAAAGUGGAUAACAUGCUGCAGUCCCUCGUCACUUACCUCUUGGCAUCUGACAAACUGCAAGAACUCCAAAUACUGAGCAGAGCACAGUGCCUACGAGCUUGCUUUUCUACUUAUCCAUGUUUCUACCACCCCACUCAACAGUUUCUUUAAGUGUUCCCCAUUCCUUGAGCAGCUUUAGGGCACCCGACAGCCCUAACCCCACUGCAGCUUCAUGAAUUGUCUCAUCCAGAACAACUUCCUCCUCACCCUCAUUAACAGGACCUUCAUCAUUACCAAAUUCUUUAAAUUCUGUCCAGCGUCCAGGCUCAUCUUAUACUUCAUUAUCUGCUUCGUCUUCAUCCAUGAAGACAUCUUCUGUGUCAGGUUUAUGAGAAACUGGAACGAGGGGUAAUGGCACAAUUUCAGUAACUCACUUGAUAAGAAAAUAACAUCACAUAUUCUUUCAGACACCAAAGACCAUAUCAAGCAAUUGGUGGAUAUAACACCGAUUUGAAGAGGAAGUAACUUCAAUUACAUGAAUGAAAUCUCAAAAUUGCAAUGCAAGCCCAAUAUGCAUGUCCCUCUCCCUUUCUCAGUAGAACCAACAUCAUUCUUAGCCAGCAUAUAUCCUGAAAAGUAACCGUGGUUUUAAAACUAAGCAACUCCAAUAUGGCCAAUACAGUUGAAUAAGUCCACUGCUCUUCAAGACAGCAAUCCCCUCGACCAGCGAUUAGGAAUUUAGUUUGGAAGUUAAAAUGCAUCCCAAAUAAACAAGCUACUGUGACUGCAUGAGCAACAAACUGCAAGUUGUAUGUGAAAAGUUCACUUGUUUGCAAGUGGUCCAGGAUGUUGUUCAAUGAGGCGCAUCAAGUGCACUGCUUGUUCGCACAUACACAGAAGGCAAACUCUAAAAUAAGUCACUUACAAACAAUCUUUCAGUAUGCAUACAGUGAAAGAACAAGAAAUGUUGCUCAUUGACCAUCCAAACAAUACCAGGAUUCUAAACUAAACAGCCAACUUAAACUAGUUUUGACCCAAUAAGCAGCAAUGCUACCCAAAUUAGCAAAAGGCAGUAAUUUGAAAAAUCUGGAGAACAAAAUAAGGGUUCCACGGUUCAGAAAGAAAAUGUGAUCGCAAAUUGUCCAGGCCAACACAGAAUUAAUCGAAUGUAUACCUUCAUCAACCUCGAGGCCUGAAACAAAACCUUCUAUUUCUGUCAUGACAACCCUGCUUUCCUGUGAUUCUCCAAUCACAACACUCUGAUUUUCUGCAUUGUGUGCACUGGGAAUACUACUGGCAUGAAGAGCUAUCUCUUUAGGACCAGAAGCCCCCUCCUCUUCUUGCUUCUUUAGAGCCAAUUUCCUGGCUCUCUCUAAAGAUUUAUAAAGAUCUUCAUCGUCAUCAGCAACGACCAUGUUUUCGUCAUUCUCCGUCUUAACAGGAAGAGUUUGCUCCACCCGCAGUAACCUAGAUGCCUCCUCUGCUUUAGCAUAGGCCAAUUGGUAGGCAUUCUUUCUCAUCCCAGCCUCAAUUUUCUCUUGUUCCUCUCUGCUAGCCUGCCUCCUCCCAUCCUUACGUGAUCCAAGAUCUCCAACACCCAACCGUGCUGAAACUGCUUCCACUUCAAGGGCAUCUAAGUCCAACUUCUCUUUCUUCCGUAAGGAUUUCUUUUUCUUGGGCUUUCUGAAUCGAAGCAAUUCUUAUUGAGUGUAUUAAUUGGACGAGGUCUUGGCAGAUGAGGUGAGAUCUUUACAAUGACUAUUUGAAGAAGCACCCUGUAGCCUCCUUCUUAGCUGUAUAUGAAGUACAUGAAACUUUUUUAGAACGACCAAGCAGACCCCAUUCCUAUUCUAACUAAUGCUGAACCACAAUAUGCAUAAAAACUAGUUACCUCUUCCAAUUUCCUUUCAGCUUCAUAGGUCAAACAUCCACUUGAGUCAAGAGUUACUCCUGAAACCAUCAAAAGAAGUGGGAACGCAAUAGCUAGAUAUGACACUUGUAAUCAGAAAAGAGAAAAAAAAACUAACCUCAUCUUGAGCCGGAUCAUCAUAUUGUGGUAGUACUUUCUUCUCUAACGCAGGGUCAUCACUGAAUCUAAAAAUGACAGUGCUAAUAAUAAGUUGAGUGUAUGCAUAUACCAAUAGGGAAAUCGAGAUGCAAGUGUGGGACAAAGACAUGUGACAUGCAAUACACAGUUAAUGCACCUGCCUAACAUCUGGUCUAUGUUUGUCAAACAUAUGAACUUGAUUGAAUCCAUACCUUCUGCAUUGACAUCAAAUCCAGCCCAUAUUGCUUAAGGGGAUAUUCAUACCCACCGAUCCGCUUGCCCCAUAACAUAACAAGUAUCGUAAGAGCAAUGUAAAGGCCAAAAAUGCAAGCAAAAUCAGCAAUUCCGGAGGAGCUAUGCGACAUCCAGCUCUGCACAAGUGUUGGAAAUAGAGGAACAACAACAGGCGACCAGAGAACAAGAACCAUGGCAACGAACUCCCCAAUCCUAAGAAUAUACCGGCAAAAAAUUGCUCAGAAUAUAUAGCAAAUUGCAGAAUAGACUUGGGAACCCAUUCAAACUACAGAAACUAGAAAAAGUGAUAUAAAGAACAUGUGUUUUCAAAAGAAUUCUAAGAUAUCACAUUCCAUGUGCAAUAUCUGUUCCAGGCCAGGGAAGAUUAUUGUUGAUUUCUUAACAUGUGUUACCUUUGCAUCAAAAAAUACAGAUCUCUUAUUUGAAAAAAACUAUCUGGAGGAGCUGUUCAAGAUGGGAAACAAUGUGAGAAUCUGACUAAGUUCCAUGGAUUAUUUUGCCUGUCAGACCACAUUUACCAGAAAUCUUAAGCGACUAAGGGAAGAUUAUUGUUGAUUCCUCAGCUCACACUUUCUGGAGCGACUAAGACAAUGUUCACAUUUACCAGAAAUCUGACACAGGCAACUAUGAUAGCAAAACGAUAAAAAAAAAAAAAAAACACAAGGAACUACAUCCUCUCUUACCACACGGAGAGCAACAACGAACGGAAUUCCAGAACUGACCUUACCGUUGACCACGUCGGCAGCGAAAUUACAGACGGCGUCGAGCGUGCUCUCAAUCUGCACCUUCAGGAUCCAGUUGGCGCGAGGUCCGACUUCCUCAACCAGUGGUGCCCGACCAUGGGCCCUCGUCCGGGUUCGCCAUCGCACCCUUCUCCAGCUCCUCCAUCUCCUUGAACACGGCCUGGAACUGGGGCUCCAUCUCCUCCAUGAACUCGUCCGUGAAGCCGAUCCGGCUCACGUCCAGGAAAAGCCCUAGCUCCCGGUGCUGGUACAGUCGGUUCACGUACCUCCUCCACAGCAAGCGGCAAUCCUUCUCCAGCCCGCGCCUCUCCUUCUUCUCCGUGCCGUCGACCCCACCCAGGUCCGCCGAGAUCUCCCUCGUGACCGAGCGGGCCAGCGUCAGGAACAACGGCCAGUCAGCGGCAGGGAGCCUGGUGCCGCUCGGGAACGAGACCGAGGCCGCCUCCCUCUUGCCGGAGGCCGAUGGCUUCGCGGCAGAGGCCGGCGGGAAUCCUUCUCCAGCCCGCGCCUCUCCUUCUUCGCCGCGCCGUCGACCCCGCCCAAGUUCGCCGAGAUCUCCCUCGCGACCGAGCGGGCCAGCGUCAGGGACAACGCCCGGUCAGCGGCGGGGAGCCUGAUGCCGCUCGGGAACGAGACCGAGAUGCCAGAGGCAGAUGGCCAGCGACGCUUUUGGGCAGGUGCAGGCCGAGGCAGAGGUCCGAAGCCGGAGCGAGAGCCGGAGACGGAGGCGGAGGAGGUGGGAUGCGCGGAGAAGGAAACAGAGGCUGUGAGCGUUUUUUUUCUUUUACGAGGAGAGGAGAGAGAGAAUCCGCCCAUUUAAGUGAGGAGAGAGAAAAAAUUUUGAGCGGGAGGAAUACACUGAUCCUCUUUCGAGCCGAGCCGAGCCGCCCUAAAACCAGCCCUUUUCUCAUUUUCGAGGGGGUCCCGCUCAGGACAGGUGUCGGUAUGUGAGUGGUUAGUGCGCACCAGGUAAGCGGAUGACGUGGCGCGCACUAACCACUGAAUAUUUUCUCGUCACAGCCUGUGCGGGGGGGGGGGGGAACGCAAGGACUUGCUCCAGAAGAUUAGACCCAUCUCCCAAAUGUUCUCUAGGACGACAACCGAACAGGUAGACGGACAAGGAUAGAUGAAAUGAAAAAUAAAAACCCAAACUUUCUUGAAGAAUUUCAGCAGGCGAGGUCGGACGCGGAACUAGGAGGAGGAAAUGAGCAAAUGGGUAUUGUAAACGGACACGUAGGCAUGUCGGGUCGGCUUCGGUUUCCUUAUUUAAUGCGAUUUCAUCACGUGGGUCGUCCUCGCCUGUUCUUGGGUAUUGUUUUUUCCGGUCCACCAUGGAUGACACUCGCAGCCAACCAUGGACAACACUCGCUUGACCUCAAACUCGGAGCUUUGGUUAGCGCUCGAGUUUCGAGCUCGGCCUCAAGCCAUCUCACCGCAAACGAAGCUCAAUGCGGUCUCCAUCUGGUAGCGCACCGUCCCUCCUCGACCUGAAGUGGCAAUGAGCAGACUCGAGCUCGAGCCAUGGCAGACGCAAGAGAAAGAAAAGAGAAGUGGAGAGAGAAGAGGGGGAGCCGAGGGAGUUGUGCGCAGAAACGGAGGGGAGGAGAGAGAGUAAAGGGGAGAGAGACGGAGUUAAGGGAGAGAGUGGGGGCUGACAGGUGGGCCCAAAAUUUGCCACGUGUCGAUUUCUCUAUGGUCUUACAUUUCGCCUACGUGGAUAGUAAAACCUACCCAAUAUUUUCUCCGAAGGGGGAGGAAAAGGGGAGAGGAGAGAGGAGAGAGAGAGAAAAAGAAAAGAGAAGAGAGAGAGAGAGAAAAAGAAAAAAGUAAAUAAUAUUACGUCUCUUAUUCUAUUUUCUUUUCUCUUUCCCUUUUUAUUUUCUUUUGGUCUUCAAUAAUUCCUCCGAUAAUUUCUUUAAUGAAAUUUUGGACUCGUCAAUAAUUUGACGGACGAUGAGACAGGAUCCUAAAAAUGAAUUGUGACAUGCUCGAAUAUUCGAUUCCCGAGACCAAUUUAAAUUUCAUGGUUAGAAUCAAUCAAACGCGAUUUUAGUCCAAUCUAACCAAUUGAGUAGCUUUUAGGGAUUUUACUGCAGAUACAUCCCCUAAUGGCUUCACCCAAUAGGUUAGUUAACUCGUGAGUGAUCAGCUCAGAGAAAAAGGACCAUAGGCACGUUGACAACAUGCCCAUUUCACUUUAUUGAAACGGGAUCAAAUUUGAGGAUGUCACAGCAACCCGGCCCCUGUAGCUUCUGUUUGGCCUCUGUUCAGCCGCCUCUAGCCGUCGCCCAGCUCCGACCGGCUGUCGUGCAGCCUCCCCGGAGCUCCACCCAUCCUUCUCGACCCCUUGCUGCCCCCAUCCCUCUCUCUUUCUCUCUGUUUGCAGCCGAACCAACAACCCACCGAGUGGGUUUCCAGCCGGCUCGUGGGCCGCUUUGGUCUGUUUUCGGGCCCCGAACCCGAGCUGUGCUUUGGGAGGGAUUGUUCCUCGUGUCGUCCCCAUUGGAUUGAUACGUUUUGUGCGCAAUUCUGGUGAGUAAUCUAACUAAUCCUUGCUUAGUGGACUAAUUGCACUUAAGAGUUGUUUAGUUUUAAUUAAUUAGGUUUAGGUGGUUAUAUUAGUAUGGAUUAGCGUUUAUUAGUCAAUUGUGAUGCGAAUUAGAUAAAUUGAGUGUGCAUUUAGCAAGUAGACGUAGUCUACUAUUUAUUGAGGGUAGCCCGGGAUUUUUCCCGACCCUAAUCGGGCUUCAAUUUGAUAAUUCAGGCCUAAGUGGAAUUUUUGGCAUUUAAAUAUUAUUUUUCGGAAUUAAAUUAAUUAAUUAAUUAUUUUCCAAAAAUUCAACUGGGAUGGCCAGUGACCGGAAUAUUAUGCUGAUGAUCGUGGCGAAGUCCAUUUAUUUAAUCAGGCUUUAUUUUGAGCUAAAUUGAAUUUUUAAUAUUAAUUAUUUAAUUUUCGAAAUUAAUUAUUUAUUUAUUUAUUUUUCAGAAAUUAAGAUUGAGAUGGCCGACGACCGAAAUCUCAUGCUGAUUGUCGUGGCAUAGUUCAUUUAUUUAUUUGAGCUUUGAAUUGUGCCAAAUUGAUUUAAUUGUGGAUUUUAGGGGAUUUUUCCCAAAUUGAUUUGAUUUGAGUAAUUGACCGUUGGACAAUUUAAAGUUGAUUGUCAGUGGCAGAGGCAUGGUGGUAGACUACCAAUUUCAGUAGAAAUUGUGGAAAUGAAAGAGAAAAUGUGAGAGGUAUGUUGGCUCGAUGACCAAGAACGUCAUUUGGGAUGAAUCAUCAUGAAAGGCACGUGGCUCGGUGAAUAGUAUAUCAUCUCGGAGAAUGCACGUGGCUCGGUGAUUUGGUAUAUCGCCUCGGAGAAUGCACGUGGCUCGAUGAAUAGUACAUCAUCUCGGAGAAUGCACGGGGCUUGAUGAUUAGAUAUGUCGUCUCGGAGAAUGCACGUGGCUCGGUGACGAAGUGUGUCACCUUGGAGAAUGCACGUGGCUCGGUGAUUGGUUCUAUCAGUUAUGACUGAAUAGCAAUAGCUUGAAUGACUGAGAAAUGGUCAGGCCGACAUGUAAUCGACUAGGUCGAUUGAUCAUUGCUUUGAUUUGAUGUUGUGAAUUGAUUGACUUAAUGGAAAUGACCGUGAGUGGUCUUGUUAGCAUGUAAUCGACAAGGUUGAUUUGAUCGAUGUUUCGAUCUGUGAUGUGAUCGCUUGGGUGUUUAUUUGAUCUGUGCUCACAUGCAGGUGGGAUCUAAGGCCAAGGUAAGUCCUGUUAGUGGGAUAGAACUCGAUGAGACGUAGUCUCAUCCCAGUUUGGGGAAAACAUUUUAGGACCCCGAUGAGAGCUAAGGAGGAGGAAUCUGAGAAAGAGAACUCUGAGGUGAAGUUGAGAAAGAGAAUGAUCUGAGUGAAGAGGGGUCAGAGGAGGAUCAAGAUGAUCUUGAGUAUGACCCAGAUGAGGAUUGAAAUCCCAUCUCUUCGUGAACCCUUUGUAUAUGUGUAGAUAGAGUGAGACUUUGAGGUUGUGAAUAGUUGUGAAGUGCUCUGUCUAAUGCCAUGUAUCAAGGCUCGGUUGUAGAUUUCAAUAUGAAAAAUAUAGCCUGCUUUUCUUCCCAUUGUUUUAUUAUCUGGGGAUUUAUAACUGCUUCCACAUGUGCUUAAUAAAUAAAAUGGUCGGCGAUACAUAGUCAUGGGAUAUCGCAUUCUAAAAUCGACCAAGUAGAAGGAUGUGUGCGUGACCGAGGAUCGGGGCGUGAUAGUGGGACAAGGAAAUAUACACUUAGUUUGUUUUACAAACAAACUUCCAACAAAUACUACUUCCAAUAUCUCACAUGAUAAGGAUAAAAUAGAAACUAGAAACCAAAGGUCCACUUGCAGACAUUACAAAUCAUAGAACCGAAUAGUUGCAAUCCAGAACCCAUAUAAACAGUGAACUUACAUUGUAUUCUGAAGCAAAGAAGAUGAAUUGGAAGACUUAUUGGAAGAGCUAGUAACUGUGAGUGCUCUGUGGUUCACUUCUUCUGAAGCUGCUGGACGAAACAUGCAAUGGUUCGAGCAUCGAAGAUGGAGGCACGAUAUAUGUCAGGAUGGGCAAAUUUGGUGGGAGAAUGGGUGGCGAAGCAUCGAAGUUCAAAAAGGUUAUCACUUUGCUUAUGGGAGGCCGUUCCUUUGGGUCUGGAUGAGCACACCAGAGGCCUACAAUCAUCAAGUGCUCCAUCUGUCUCCCAUUGAAAUUUUCUCCUAACUUUAGAUCUACCGCAUUGAAUAGCUUUCCGAUUCCAUAGAGCUCCCAAACCCAUUCCACAAGUUGAAUUUGGCCUUGCGAUGCCCUGGGUUCGAUAGCUCUUCUUCCACAUGCUAUUUCUAAGAGGACGACUCCAAAACUAUAGACAUCGGAUUCCUUGCUUGCCUUACCUAUAUAGAUACAUUCAGGAGCCAAAUAUCCCAUGGUCCCAGUCAAUAGGGUUGUUUGUGACCCUUUGGCAUGGUCGACUAUCC